Molecule: long non-coding RNA, 48764 nt
Filed under: Cucumis sativus (cucumber)
Lineage: Eukaryota; Viridiplantae; Streptophyta; Magnoliopsida; Cucurbitales; Cucurbitaceae
Description: long non-coding RNA (CSAT_LNC002508)
Source: RNAcentral
UGAAAGUAGUAAGAAUUUCUUCGAAAUCAACAACAUUGCUAUUCAAGAACUUUUUUUUUUCUUUAGUUGCCUUUUCUCGUACUUCCAAAUUCCAUCUGACCUACACCAAACUUAAACAGCUAUUCAAUCACGUUUUCACUAAACUUUUGUUUUAAAAAAACAAAUAAUAACUCUUACCAAUGCCAAACAGCCCCACGGUUUUUCAGUAAAGGAAAUGACACUGAUUAUAAUUAGGUAACCUUUUGAGAGAGAAGUAUGCUACAAUUUAUCUUCAAACCAGGGAGAACUUAAUGUACCUUUUGUGUCAUCUGUAACAACGUAUCUGAGCCAUGAUUCAAUAUUUCUUUAGGAAUGGAUGAAAGGAUCAGCUCUAAGUUAGAAUCUUUGUCAAUGCCUUGAAGAUUAACACGUAAUGCUUUUAUUUCAGCCUGGAUCGGUAACCCUCUGGAAAGAGCAUCUUCAAGUGCCAGUGCCCCCUAUAAGAUCGAUGACUUAUAGUUGAUUAAACACUUUGAGAUAAAUUGGAUUGGCUAUGCGCUAGCAAAAUAUAAAAAGGAAAAAAUAUGAUUUACAACCAUGAAAGUUCCUGAGACACCUUGUACUUGAGCACAAUGCUCGUUGAUGGAUUUAUACAUAUAUAAACUUUCUUGACAAAUGAAAUACAAAAGCAAGGGUUUAAAAAUCCUUAGAAAAUGCCAAGUUUAUAAAAAAUACUCUACUGCAGAUUCAAGGGAAGUUUUGGAGAAUUUCCUCACUCUUAAGUACAAUUCUCUCACAAGAUAACUGAGCAAAAACGUACUUCCCUGGCACUUUCUUACUUACAGACUAUAUAUUGCUCAAACCAAAGCUCAUUCUCACUAUAUUCUCAGGGGCCCAUCCCUCUAACUAACUAAUAACAAUUUAAUAUUCCUCAACUGCCUACACUUAUACACAUGCUUAAUGGGGGGGUCUAUCAUAGACUCAUAGUCAGCACAAAUAACCAAAAGAGGCUAAUUACAGAAACCUCGACUAAGGAAUCUCCAAUUGAAUCUUACAGGCUAGAACAUCCACCCUUGACAAAAGAAGAGAAUGAGAUUAUUCAAGCAAGAAUACUAUGACAAGCAAUUUUACAAUGUCAAAACCUGUCUUCAUUCUAAGAACAACCUCGGAUCUUAUUUUCAAAAGAAGCCUCACAAAACGUAACUAAAAAAAAAAAAACAAAUACCGUUUCCAAAUUUCAGCGUACACCCUAAUUUUAUGUUUUUUAUGGAAACAUACUGGUUUCAAACUUUCUAAAAUGCCUACAAAUAUGUAUGUUGUUGCGGAGAGACCUAGAACUAUUUUAACCUGGAAGAUUUUAAACGUAGUUUAAUCCCAAUGUUCAUCAGUUUCCCUGUUCACAUGCAAAUGAUGUAAAUCUGAUAGAAGAAUGAUCACCUUCAAUAGUACCCAAACUACUAAUAUUAGAUGCACAAACGUGCACCAGUAUGUAGGAAGACAAAUCUUUCUCCAAAAGUAAGUUUAACUUCAGUUUCUUCUAUACUACAAGUAAGAAAUGAAAACAUCAAUAAGUAGAAGUGCGAACUUACCAAUGCAAGUUUCUGAGCAGAGUGACUUUGACGAGCUUCUUCAGACCUUGCAUAGAAUGCCAUGCAAAGGGCAUUAAUCUGCAAAAAGAAGUUUCACACAUAAACAGAUUAUUGGUGGUAGAUUGAUUGCCUGGAUUCAGGCCAAAGGACAUGGAGCUAUAUUGGAACAUGCACAUCAUUGACAAGAAAAUAAACUAUUAUAGCAACAAAAGAAUUGCCAAAUUGAUGUACAGUUGACGUGUUUCUUCAUUAUAGUGUAAAAUUUUCAUCAAGCAAUGUCCAUAAAAAUCGGUGAGCAUCUUUCAUCCUAUGAAGGAAAAACUUCCCCCCGAAUGGUGAUAUCGUAAAUGAAGAACUAAACAUUUUUUUUCAACUUUUUUUUUCUUGUUAUGAAUGUCAUUUUUUAAGGAGGCAUGUUAGGUCCUAAUAUUAUCUAUAACUUCCACUUUGAAUAUGCAUGAUGUUUUUAGCUCAGGUAAAUCAAUAGCUUGUGCUAUAUUGCUUACAUGAAGAUUUGCUUCAGCCAUUUUUUCUAUCUGGGCAGCCUUCUCACUUGCAAUUGCUGCAGCUAACUCUGCUUUUGCCAGAUCUUGAAGUUUUCUCAACUUUGAUUCUAACUCAUUUUCCUGCAAUGAAAUCAUUUUUAAAAGUAUUGGUAAAGGGUCAGCAACUUGAGCUUGUUUGUCAUUUAAGAAACACUCCUACCUUCUGUUCAAGUUCCUUCUGAAAUUUAUCUUCCAAAUUCUCUUGUAGUGACAUCAGAGCAGCAGCUGCUUUUGUUUUCUCUCGUUUUAACUCCUGAAAAUAGUUAAAAUCCCAAGAAGCCAAUUAUAAGAAUGAGAGAAACACAACAACAGUGUACAGAUGUACGCUCUCUGUUCAGAUGAUACAUCUAUAAGAGACUCCACGUGCGUAAUUCAAAAAUUGAGAAUUCAACCUUGUCCAACAUAGCAGCCUUUUCUGCAUGCAUAAAUUCCCUAACCCGAGCAUCCCUCAAUGCUUCGUCCAUCUUGUUCUGUACAGAACAGAAACAUAAAUCACAGUCAAUAAUAGUCGCAUUUCAUAAAAAUUACAAUCGUUUCACGUACGAUAUAAAAAAUAUCUAUCGAUCCAUACCCACAGUGCUGUCUUUUCAUCAGCAAAACGACGAUAAUCCAGCUCAGCUUGCCGCUUUUCAGCAGCAUGAAUAGCUUCUAAGAAAUCAAUGACCAAUUUCCCAUCCUUGGAUAUGAAGCCAUCAUUCAACUCCUCAAUUUCAGCAAUUAAAGCCUGGCAUCUUGGAAACAAAACUUUAGAUCUUGUCUAAGACUCCUUUACUCAAUUCCAGAAAAAUGGACAUCCAUCAAGAAGAAGGAAAAAGUAAAUGACCUCUGUUCCUUUGUAAAACUUGUCAGUUCCAUCUUUGCUACCACCACCCAAGGAAGUCAUGCCAGCCUCACCCUUCAAAUGGUAGGCCUCGAGAAGAGAACUUGGCUCCCCUGUAUCUUCACUUGUAUCAUUCAACUCCUGGAUAGAAUACGAGCAGAGACAGAUUCACUUUAAGUUACACAUCUUUACUAGAAAUGAAUAUAUUUGGAUAAGAGAUUAAUAUAUUUAAGAAACAAAAGUUCAGAGAUGAUAUCCUGUGAAUCUAGAAUGUCUAAUUCUAAUGAACCAAUCAUCCUCAUCAAACUUCAUUUCUGGCCCGAAUACUAUUAGGCAAGGGAUUCUAGGUACCUGGUAUUUUUUCUAACUUGCCUCCUGUAAUAAACGUUUCAGUAAUCCCUUUCUGACACUGGAGUGGACGAAUAAUAAGUUGGAAUAGACCAAAUAGGUUCGUCUGCUGUAUGAUGAGAGGCUAGUCAUCUUCUUCAACACCCUAUGCAAUAUUUACAAAUUUUAACCUUCUUAUUAAUCCAUAAGGAUUAUAGACCUAUAAUCUGGUCUCUCCUUCUGCAAAGUCCUCAUCAUAUUUGAGAAGAUUUUUAUCAUGAGAGAUGAUGACUUGGUUUUGCCACUAUCUUGCUAACACGUGUUUCAGUUUCACCCACGUAUCAAAGAUAAGGGGGUUUGGACAUUUGAUUGUUCCAAGUCUUUCUCUUGUGAGCUGGUUUCUGGAAGGUUACACUCAUGAAGAAAACUAAAUUUUGCACGCUUGAUGCCUGGUGAUUUAUAGGAGGAUUAAUCCCAAAUCUCCACAGGUGUUCCUAUUUUACCAGUUAAUUGAAGAUUAAGAGGAUCUACACAUUUUUUUACUUUUCCCUUUUCCCAUAAUGAUUUGGUUUAGGUUUUGCAAUUGUUUGGCAUUAUUUUGGCCCCAUUUUGUAAUUUUCAUUCUAUGAUUGAAGAAGUUCUAGUAGAUCCUUCAGUUCAGGAAAGAGAAAUAGACAAUUGUGGUGGCAGGUUUUUAAUCAACAUAAGAUAUAUUUGGUAGAGAGAAACGUGAGGAUGUUUCAAUUAAGGGUCCUCAGAUAAAGUGUAGCCAGACUCAAAAUUAAGUUCCUCAUAGAGGAUUUUUUGUUGAAACAUUUUUAGUGAUUUUACUCUCAUUUCAAUUACCAAUAAUUAUACCAAUUUUUUCUAACUGUUUUCCUUCUCAUAACCCUUUUAUCUUGGCGUGGGCUUUUUUAUAUACAGCCUCUGUUUACUUUCUUCCCUGCCUCUUAAUAUAAGCUGGUUCACUAUUAAAAAGAAUUUGCAUUGAGCACGUGCAUUGUAUUGUAUGACUUAAACCUUCAAGCUACCAUUACAUCAACAUUUGAUCUGAAUGGAUAAAUUGAAGUUACCUUCAGUUUCUCUUCUGCAACUGUAUCUUCUUGUGGUGGUAUUCUGAUAUCAAUCUGUGCGGGUUCUGCAUCUGUCUUGCUAGAUAUUGGUGAAGUUUGAACUUCAUCGUGAGGCCAAUCCCUAGUACAAGACUCUGCGCUUUGCAUGUUCAAGUUUUCAUCUGUGGAUAUUUUAGAUCCAAGAUUCUCAUCCUCUACUUGACUGCCACUUUGAGUAAAUUCUGGCAAGUUUUCCUCCUCGAUCUUUUCAUGUGGCAGUGUCCUGGAACUGUCUUCAAACUGACCAUCAUCUUUCUCUUUUCCCCAAUCUUCAAGAUGAGGAAGGUGGGUAUCUGUCUCAACUUUCUGCUCAGUAGACUCCACAAUGGGAUUUGAGCUCUCGGUUUCUUCUCUAACACUAUUCGAUUUUUCGGUUUCCUCACUACUCGGUAAAUCAAAUUUCUGCACCACCAAAGGUUGGACAUUGUCUGAAUCACUUUUCUGAACUGUUUUAGUUGACUCUACAGAAGAAUUCUGCUCUAUAUCAACAGUUCGUUGGUCUAGAUAGCCGGCUUGGUAAGCUGCAAAAACAGCAGCACCAAUAACAACACUGCCAAAGACAACUUUUGGGAUGGAAUUUCCAGAAUUAGGUGGCACAUUUGUAGGUUGUGGUUUCAGAUUUUGUUUGGGCGCAGAUGAAAAUUCCCUUAUCUUAGAAAUACAUUGGGGUGUAUGCCAACAUUGCACCUGCAACAAAAACCUGUCAAAGAAUCAGAAAAUAUUUGAAAAAGUACACCAUUAAACCACAAAAAAUAUCAGGAUUGCAUAGUUUGGUCCCUAUAUUUUAUUAUAGACUAGUUUUGCAACACACUCUGUUCGUCCUCCCAUUUCAUUUGUCUCACAGCUUUUGGGCACAGUAAAAUUAAACAUAAGAAUAGAAACAUGUCAAUGGGUUUAACAUUUCUUAACACUGUCAAUUAAUUACAACAGCAGAAGAAAGAAUGGUAUAAAUAGAAAGUUCGUGUAUGUUAUAUGAGAAGGCUUCAAGUAGUCAGUUAAUAAAGACAGCACAACUGCAUCACAAGCACGUAGCAGGCAGAUGAAAAACUAUAUGCAUGUCUUUGCUCCCAAGUCAAAAAUAAAUUUCCAAGCAUUUAUUUUGCAGAUGCUCGUACUACCAAGAAAGAAUAGCAUAAAUAGCAAUUUAGUGUAUGUUAAAAGAUCCCAAUGUUGUACAUUUCCACCCAACUGCAUCUACGAUAACAUAUGUGAAGAACCAAGCAUGUGGAUUUAUAUGCUUAUAAGUCGAAUACACACUUCUCCAAAUAUCUGUUUGUAAAUUAUCUCAGCGUUUGGAUUGUACAAAACGAAUUCUGAUCGCAAAAAUGGGAAAGUCUUAUUUACGAAAUUCUACUUGCCUGGGGUGAACUCUGCCUCGGAGUCCUUCCACCAGAUUGACGAGAUGAUAAUUUCAGAAUUGACCUGCAGACAACAAUGCGAUAAAAAUACUAUCUAUAAGCAUCACCCGCUGUAACCGAACCCAGCGAGAUCCAAAUUCAUACAUAACAUGGCCAUUGACAUUGAGAUUUAUUAUCAUUUAUUAGUAGAAAAUUCCUAUUGCUGAGAAUGCCAAAUUAACCCUCGGGAGAUUAAAGAAUAAGAAUCUGGCAAUUUUCAACCAUUCAAGAAAACACUGCACUCGAAGGACAAUCGAAAUGACUAAUUAACGAAGAACAUCAACAUCACGAGCAAAAUAAAACAUAGUUGAAACAUAGUUCAAGAACAUUUCCGUACCUCCGCCACAUAGCGUAUACCUAUUCAGUGAAAACGGCGAGCGACGAAGAUAUUUGAGCGAAUAACCAAGUAAGCGAUUAAAUGCAAGUUGGGCAGUGGGUGAUGGAAAGUCCGGCCUGGUAGGAGGGUGGAACAACGGGUUCGAAAACUCAAAUUAACAAUCGGUUUACCGGAGGAAGAUCGCCGGAGACGAAGGAAAACAUCCGAUGACACCGGAAUUUUACCGCCUAAUUAGAUGUGUCCGACCAUCCGCAAGGAAUUAUUCCGCGAGUUGCAAUAGAUUCUACAAGGCCCAUUUAUAAAGUUGGGCCUUGAGCCCAAUAGAUUUGUAGGAGGUUGAUGAGCUGGGCUGAACGAAUCUGACAAGACUGCCCUUAUUCGGGUCCAUUGUGAUUCUAAAGGUAUGACUCGAUCAAUACUUUGUAGAUGUAAAUUUGAUAGACGAGCUAGUUUUUUUUGCAACAACAAAUACAGCCUUCUUUUUAAAUCUCAAUUGAAGCAAGGUAAUCUUUUAUGAUAUAACAUACGUGUAGACUUGAUUAAAGAAACAAACAAAAAAUUAGGGGAAAAAACUAAAGAGAUUGUAUUUUCUUCAACUCAAAGUUUCCCCAACUAAUAAUACUGUUGUUGCUAGUUAGGUUUCUCCCACCACAAGAACUGAUAAUGAAUUUAAUAACUGUAAAAAAAUAAAAUUUGGGAUAAUUCUUCUGUAAUAGUAUUUCAAGUGACCGAUACCGUUUUAGGCUAUUUUUAAACAUAGCAUAAUGAAUAAACAUAUAUAUUACACCAACACAAAUUACUAUUUUGUAUUUAUCAUGAUAGCAGUUUAUCUUGGUAUAUCACAUGUAAACAGUUAUAUUUUUUUAUAUUCAUAAAUAUUAUAAAAAAAACGUGCAUUAAAAACACUUUAUCCUUUUUCAAAAGUAACAAUAAUAAAUAUUUUUCUCUAAUAAUAUUCGAAAUUAUUUCACAACCUUUAAAGAUUGUGUGGAUUGCCCAUGUGUUCAAGCAUCUUUAUGUCUAAAAUAGAUUCGACUUAGUUAAACUAUAAUUGACCAAUCAUUUCUCUCUAACAGUCAAUGAUUUGAUUUUUCAUUCUAUGAAUGUUGAAAACAUAUACAAGGGUGUAAAAAUUUGUUUAAAUGAUAAAACGAUUGAAAUAUUUACAAACAUAACAAAAUUUAAUAGUUUAUAAAUUUAUCCGCAUCCAUUUGACAUUUAUUAGAUAAAUGAUAAUAAUCUAUCAACAUUUAUUAUUGAUAUUUUACUAUAUUUAUAAUUUUUUUUUGGUUCAUAUCACUUUAUAGGAAGUGGUUAUAUAUAUAUAUACAUACACUUAAAAGCAUCAAAGUGGAGUGGUAGGGGCCAUGUCACAUGGGAAGAACAAAGAGGCAUCCCAAAUUCAAAGAGUGAACCAUGCAUGUCAUGUCACAUAAAGCAUUAAUUUUCUUUUAUAAUAUUUUGUUUCCUGUUUUUAGUUAAAAAGAGAUAUUUGAGAUAAAAUCCCACAAAAGUGAUAUCUAAUGAAUUUCACUAUCAUAUCCAAAAACUCAAUUAUUAGUUUUCAAAACGCACACACACACAAUUAUCAAAAUGUUUCUAAACAUAUAGAAAAAAUCUACUCACGUUUUUAUACUAAAAUUUCUUUUGAACAUUACUGAGGUUGUCUGUCUCUAAUGGGUGAAUUUCUUUGACAUACUUAUUUCAUUCUUUCAGCAAUCCUUCAAUUUAGAAAUCUAAACACUUUCUCAGAGCUAGAGAUGCAUCAAUCAAAGACUAAUCUUGACAUUUUUCUAAUUCUUUAUUACAAAUUACCAUAUUUUUCACCAAAUAUAGAAUCUAUAACCCAACUAUUUUUUGCUAUUCAAAAAUCGUUUAGAGAGAAAUUGCACAAUUAAGUCCUUGAGGAAAAUCGGCAAAUGGUACAUAACAGCCAUGAGGGUGGAAUAGCUUCCAUAUGAGAACCAAGGCGAUGGCUUCGUUUUAAGAACAGCGGCGACUGUCUUCUCGGCAAACUCGGCAGUAGGGGUGGCGUUAGAGCCCUGCGAGGCAUUGGCCCUGGCUAACAUUGCAGCUUCAAAGGGCUUGAAUAGCUUCAACUCAGGCAUCUGAUUAAAGUUGGCAAUGGCAGAGUUUCCAAUGUUUGAUUUAAUGGCUCCAGGGACAACGUUGAUAACGUCGAUUCCAAAGGGCUUCAGCUCCAUCCUUCAAUGAUGAAAAUAUCGAUCAAGUCAACCAACAUCACAGUGUGAAAUAAAUGCGAAAAUCAAAUGAAAUAUGUCAGCAAAUUGAAUUGGAUAUUCAUUGCGUUUAUUCAAGUUUCUAUCAUGGGCCGUGGCCCCCUAAAAAGCAAAAAGAAAAAAGAAAGUUUUAGAUUUUGAACUUUAAUGUCUUGGAAUAACUUUUCUAAGCAUUGAAAAAAAGAAAGUUUUUUUGGAGGGGUAUUUUUUUGCACAAGAGUUGAGAGUAACAACAUAGAAACAGAAGUAGAAGUGUGGAAUGGUAAACUUCCCCUCUUUAUUUAAACUAAAAAAUUUGUAGGCUUUCACAACUAAAAAACAUCAAUAACCCGUACAUUUUACUCCCAUCAGUUUACAAGUUUCUAGUUUUCAUAACUCACAACUUCACUCUUUGCCUCAAAGAUCGUCUUAUAAAACAAUGUUCUAUAAAGUCAUUUCAAACCGACUUUCAUGAAGAAAUAAGUUGUCUUGAAUCAACAAUAAGUAACCCAUAAAAAUAAACCCAGCAGAAAAAGAAAUAUUUGCUUACCCAUCAGACUUUUGUGGGUUGUUUCUGUUUCUACAGUUCUACUUCAGUGCAUUGUAACUUAAUAUAUUCUAUACAUAUCUUUGAGAUCUUUGAGCUGCUAAAAAGAUACACUAGAAAUUCAAUAGGACCCCGGCACUUAUUUUUCUCAUAUGAAUACUCAAUUUAAACUUUAAGCAUAAAGGUCUCGAACCCACUACAUAAUCAAACAAGCAAAAACAUCAAAAUUUCAAAUCCAACUAAAAAUUAUUCAAAGAUAGAUAAACAAAGUGGAAUGAUGCUCAUCCACUCACAAGAAUGGCUACAAGAAUCGGAACUCAAAUCCAUAGAAAUAUUAAUUUAAUCCCUUGAUUUAAGGUAAGAAUUGCGGUUGAAAGUUAAACUCCACCAACGAGCUUUAUUUGAAUUUUGGUUCUUUAUUUUUAAAAAUUAAUAUUUAUAAACCCUAUUUUCACCUCUAAUUUUCUUCCUAACUCGUUUCUAAAAAAUCUAAACCACUCAAAAACCAAAAAAAUAGUUUUAAAGUAUGUCUGAAAACUUUUUAGUUCUUUUGUUUUUGGUCCUCGAACAAUGGAUUUGUUCUUUUAACAACUUCCCUGUCAUACUAUUUAUCAAGAAAGACCAAAUUUUCUUAGUAAAUUUUCAAAUUGCAAAAACUAUCUUUCUUUACUUUUCAAAAUUUAGUCUUGGUUUUUAGAAUUGCAAAUUGCAAAAACUUUCUCUACCUUUCAAAACUUAGUAUUGGAUUUUAGAAUUAAUGAUAAAAGGUGGAUAACUAAAUAAAAAAACCAAUAGAUGAAAAGUAGAGAGUUUGUAAACUUAAUUUUUAAAAAGCAAAUUGCUAUCAAAUAGCUUUAGUAGUCAACUUUCAUCCCAGAAAAAGACUAGUGAGGUUCAAAUUAACUUAAUAAACUAUCACUAGCGAGGGUCUGGAAGAUCGAGAUAAUUAACUAAGGCAAGGCAAAACAUUUCGUGCAUGAUCAGGAACACAAAACAAUUGUUAAUUAUACCAUUAGAUGAGAAUCAGAGAGGUAUAUACGAACCUCAGACAGUCAGAAAUGGAAUGAAUAGCAGCUUUGGAUGCAGUAUAAGCACCAGCCCAUGGAAGAGGCGCCAAUACGGUGACACUUCCCAAAUUCACAAUCUUCCCCUUUCUUCGUGAUGCCAUGUGAGGAACCACGGUUUGAAUCAAUCUCAUAGUCCCUGCAAAUGCAAUUCUCCAAUUCAUAAAUACUAAUUUAACAUAAUACAAUAAUCCACUCCUUUCCAUAUUGGAGUGUUCAUGUUCAAAUUUUCCCCACCUCUAACUCUGCUUUCUACAUUUCACAUACCAAACAAACAGCUUUGUUUCUAACCAGUGGCGAAUCAGAAAUUUUAUUGACUAAGGCUUUAUAGACUAUUAAAAAUAAUUUGGAAGAAAAUAUAACUAAUAGGACUUGAACCUGAGUAUAGAGGGACUAAAUAAUUUCAUUGUUCACCAACUUCUUAAAUUGGUACUAUUUCAGUUUUCUAUAUAUAUAUAUUGUAAUAUAAAGAUCUUAAGUUGAUGGAAGAAAAUAUAACUAAUAGGACUUGAACUUGAGUAUAGAGGGACUAAAUAAUUUCAUUGUUCACUAACUUCUUAAAUUGGUACUAUUUCAGUUUUCUAUAUAUAUAUAUUGUAAUAUAAAGAUCUUAAGUUGAUGGGACUCGAGCUCCUGUACCUAUGCUAAAUCCACCCGUGUUUGCCAGGAAUACAAUUAUAUACAGUAGCAGAAGCUGACGAACACAGUAGAGCAGAAGAUAGGAUGAUAAAGUCUUCAGCGUUUAUUUCUAACCGACCACUGGAUCAAAUGUUAAUCACAAAACAAUAUCAAACUCAAAUCAAUUCGAAAUCUAAAUAAGCGGCUCAGUCAAUUCACAGUUUCUAAUCCCUAGAUUCGAUAUCAUUCAAUUCUGAAGGAAGAAAAAUGAAAUGGCGAAUCUGAAUAUUGAAAUACAAUUAAUUUCGCUGAUGGAUAAUUUGUUAGAGACCGAAGCUCACCGAAAACAUUGGUAUUGAAGGCGUUCUGCAUAGCGGAAAGUUGAACCUCGGCAAUAGGUCCAAUACAUUGAACGCCAGCGUUGUUCACCAAAAUAUCGAUUCGACCGAAUUUUUCGAUGACAAGAGACGUUAAUCGCUCGACGCUUUGGUCGGACAGGACAUCGAGUUCUUGUAAGAAAAAUCUGGGAUCGUGCUCCAGGUCCGCCAUUGAGGAGCGGGACCUGCUGGUUGCGACUACCAAACAGCCCUGGUCGGCGAAGGCUCGGGCGAGAGAGUGGCCUAUGCCUCCGUCGGAACAGCCGGAGAUGACAACUACUUCUUUUCCGGCAAAUUCCAUAUCCUUUUUAUCUUCUUGAAAAGUGAACGAACCCCGCCCUCCUCCAAAUUAAACCGAUUGAUAAAUCGGAGAUUGAAGUGUUGGGUAGCUCCAAGUACAUCAAUAAGAGCAAUUGCUCACUCGUCUGCACCUAGGCCCUGAAGACUUCCACAUGGCCGGUCUUUGUGGUGCCACUUGGCAACCCCACAUGGACGCUUUCCCUUUUUUCCCUCCUUCAUUUACGGUUAUUGUAUUUCUUGGGUGAUUUUAAAAAAAAAUUGGGAUUUUGGUUUUAAAUUUAUACAUAUAUAUAUGCUCAAUCUCUUCUCUCAUUUAUACAACACUCUUUAUUUUUAAUUAAUCAAUUAAAAAGUAAUAUUUUUAAAAAAUUGAAAUUAUUCUUACCAUGUUUUUUUAUUUAUGUUGCUAAUUCAUUUUCGUUAACUUGUGUUAAAUUGUUUAUGAAUUGUUGAUAUAAGUGGUUGAAGUUUCUACGAGUUACGUGCUGGUUUAUAGGAGUUGAAUGAGUGAGCAUAUGUGAGUUUUGAUUUGAAAGUAUCUGUUGAUAUAUAAAAUCCUAAUAAAUUUUAAACCUUUACUAAAAGUAAAAAUUAGAUUCCUUUGUUGAAGUCCAUCGAUAAUAGACUAUUUUAGUGAGGAGUAUCUAUAAGUAGUAGAUAUGGUAGAAGUCUUUUGGUAACAAAGUUUAACACUUGAUUUUAUUUAAAUUGCAAUUUUGGUUUCUUAAAUUCAAACCAUAGUUGGCAUUGGCUCACCGUUGGAAGGACGAGUAAAUGUUUAACUACAACAUUUAUUGCAUCCUUUUAUUUUAUUUUUCAGUAUCCAUUGUUUGUUUUAUUUGUAAAUUGUGAAUAAAACUAUGGCAAGAGGUAAUUGAAAUGAAACCAUAGCAAAUUUUAUAGAAUUAAAAGCCGUGGCACAAUGCAUGCAUUCAUUUAUCUAAAUAAUUCAAUUACAUGAGUACAAAAAAUAAUACAUUUUUUAAACGUAAAUGUUGAUAGAUUUUCAUUAGUGGAUAGAUUCUCAUGUCACAUCAUACUCUAUAUCGUUCAUAUCAAUAAUAUAAAUUUUUCGUUGAUAGAUUUUGUUAUAUUUUCUAUUUUUUAAAAAUAUUAUUAUACAAUUGUAUACCAUCUCUAAUAUUAUUAUGCCCUCGAUCAUAUCAAUCACUUUUAUAGAUUAAAUAAGUAUACAUCAUUAUAAUAGAAAUAAAAGUUCACUUUGUAUAAAAUUGUUUUAAAUUUCAUAAUACUAUGCAUAGUUUAUAUAUAGUUUAGAGAAUGUGUUCAUGAUACAUUCACAAAUAUUUAAUUGAAAAGAAUGUUAUUAAAAAAUAUAUAAUAUUUGACAAACACUCAAAAUUAGUCUUAAAACAACAUAAUCCAAACAUAACCUAAAUGGUUUUACUAAUUGAUAAUUUGUUUGCAUUUACUUGCUCAAGAAGGCCAUAAGUUUAGAAAUCAUCCCUAGGAACAAAAAAACGAAAAGUUAGAAAUUAUCCAAAGAACUAUUUUCCAUAUUGUUUGUUGGUUCUCAAAAAAAUAUUGAUUAGGUUAUUACAUUUUGGGACAGCAUACAUCUAAACUGACAAACUAAAUUUAGUAGUUUAUUAGUCAAUAAUUGAGUAAUAUAUCAUUAUUGACCACAACAAAUAAUGGCCUACCUCUUCAAAACAAUACUUCAAAUACAAAGUUUCCCCGACAAACAAUUACAUCGAAAAUUACAUCGAACAAAUCCAUAUUUAAUCUCCAUUUUUUUCAAGACUUUAGGAAAUGACAAUGCUAUUCCCCCCAUAAAUUGACCUAUAUAGAUAUAGAUAGAUAGUAUUUAAUUCUAAACCCUCUUAUUUCUAUCUAAACACUGGUACCAACAAGAAGAUGCUGUCUCCUUAUUUCGAGAAAAAAAAAAAGAUAUUGUCGAUAUUGUCUAAAGUCUUCCCUAAACGUGAAUUGAAGAUAAAAAGACGAAAUUUAUCACUAUAAUUGAAGGGAAAUUAAUUUAGUUUCUAUUGUUUCAUAAGUUUAGAUUUAGUCUCUUUUAAGUGCAGAAAGUCUAAGAGAAAUCCUUAUAAUUGAAUGAAGCUAUCACAAAUAAUCCUUGUUAUUGAGACUAAAUUAUAGUUUUCUUAAGUUAAAGUGACCAGUUUUACAAUUUAGAAUAGGAUUAGAAUGUUGGAUCUCAUUACACCAUGGUUGUACUAAAAAAUUACAACUUUGUUUUCAAGAUAUAGGGACAAAUUCUACAAUUGAAUGCAUAAUUACUACGAAUUAAUUAACCAGUUCUCCCAUGUUCAGAAGUAUCAGAAUCAUUUUUUGACUUGUUAACGUGUUUUAAUGAACUAGAACUAUAUUUCAACAACGCUCCAAAAUUCACACCAAAAAUGGAGACGAAGAGAGAAAGAAGAAGAUAUAACCCAUAAUUUGUACCUUCCUUAGUUUGAUUUCUAGCCAGAUCACAUCACCGAAGGAAGUUCAAAAAUUUACACAAGACGUAGAAAAAGAAAAGAAAAGAAAAAAAGCACUAAAAGCUUCGACUCUGGCAUGAAAUUUCUAUUGAGAAAGUAAAAGCCAGAGGAGGCCUGUUUUCAGGAAUUAGAGGUGGCCUGAAGCCCAAAUAGGGUACCCGGAUGGACUUUUUUACUGGAUUUUCCGGCAAUUCCGCCGGCGGCGUGAUGGGAAGUUUUUGGAGGUUUGACGGAAUCUUCUCUCCUGCCAGAUCUCUCCUGCUCCAUCCUCUGCAGUUUUUCCUCUGCUUUCUUUUUCAUUACAUAAACCCUAGCGCAGCUAGCUCCCAUGGAGGACAUGGUUUAUACAGAAGAAAAGGAAAUGAAAUGAAGAAAUUUCUACAAAUGUUUCAGUGGGCUUUUAAUUUGUUCAAUCGGUGGGUAUUGAAUGGCUUAAACCCUUGUUGUAUUUAUAGUGGAAAACGUGUUUGGUGGCCUUGGUGUUUCGUUGGCCCCUAGCGUAGGGGUCAGAUAACCAUAACCCCCAUUUUCUGUACCUUAUUUGGAUUGGACAAUUUCUUUUUAUUUCAAUCAAAUUUAAAUUAAAUUAAAUUUGCAUUUUUGUUAUUUAUACAAUUUUGCGUUUAACUUAAUCAAUGUAUUGUUCAAAAGUUGAGAUCUGCAAAUUCAUUGUUUCUUCCAUUCUAAUUUACAAAGGAUAAGUUUUGUUUUUAAUUUGAUCUGAUUUUUAGUUUAAUUUUAUAGUUUUUAUUUAAUUUUCUACAAUUUAAGCUUCUUUCAAAAUGCUAGCGUAGUUUUAAUUUGAUAUGGUUUGUUUCUUUAUUAAACUUAUAUCACUUCAUUACUUAAAUAGAUAUGUCAUGUUGCAAUCAUGUGCAUAGUUUGUGAAGUAAAAGUCAUGUGAACUUGGUUAAAUUUGUUAUGAACUCAACUUAAAAUUAAACUUUUUUAUUUAUUUGUUUUGACUCCAAUAAUACACUUGCAUAGUUGAGAUGUGUUUAGAUGUGUUUUACUGUUCAACUGUAGUUAGAAGUUUGUAUCUAAAUUUAUACUACAAGACAAAAGAUUAAUAAAGCAAUUGAGAACACAAAUGGAUAAGCAGUUGACUUAAUACAACUCUAAUUAACCAUUACAAGAUCUAAAUUCUCCUAAUUUAAAUGAUACAAGCAUAACAUUGUAUAAAUUUAAAUCUACAACUAAUUUGAAUCUUUCCAUUUACAUUAUGAAAAACACACUAUAUAAAAACUACAAUCUUUCCAUUUACAUUAUGAAAAACACACUAUAUAAAAACUACAACAGUAUAAUUAAUGUUUGAAUUCAUAAACGAAUCGGUUUAUAAUUUUAAUUAGAGUUUCCUUUUAGAAUCGUCAAUAUCUACUUUAAUCAUCUUCAAACUAAUGGAUCGAUGAUUUUCAAAUGUAAUCAUACAUAGAUCAAUUAUCUUUUUAAAAAAAUCUACAAAGUUUGAUACAGUAAUAAAAAAGUUAAUUAUUAGUUUAUGAUUUCACUAAAUUCAAUGUUCAAUUUUGUUUAGUAUGAUACUUGAUAAAAGAUUAUUGUCUUUAUGGAAAAAGAUCACAUGAAUUAUGAUUAAUUAAAUGAAGCUGAAUUUCAAAUUAACCAAUUAAUUAAUCACAACAAUACAAAUGAAUUUACACUAAAUUUUAAAGAGGUAUUUAAAAAUGGGAAGAAAAAAGAGAGAGAGAGAGAGAAAAGAAUUGAGUAAUAGACGCUCAAUAAUGGAAUAUUUAAUUGGAAUCACCAAGAUGGAGAAAACGGUUGAAAGACAACUAACACCGUUUACCGGGAUGGUUUUUAAAAACACAAAGUACACAGAAACGAAUAAAACGGUGGGAAACCCCAAGCUCUGAGGAAAAUAAAAAAAGAAACAAUGGCUUGUAUUAGAUGCGGCACUCACACCACUCCAACUGUGAGGUCGCCCCACGUCAGCUAAAGAUAUUAUAGAUGGAGGCGGCCAAAGGUUCUGCUUACGUGUCUGUUGAUUAUUCGCCCGAAAUUUCCAACAUAACAAAAAAGUGCUCUUCUUUUUUCUUAAUAUAUAUUUUUUUAAAAUUAUGGAAAUUAAAUGUUGGAGAGAUAAGAGUUUGAUUGAGGUCACAAUCUGAGUCGUGGACCGUGAAGGCACCUUUUUUCUUUCUUUUUCUCUCUUUCUUUAUUUACUUUGAAUUAUUUCAUUUGUCAUUAUUACCUUGCACUUACAAAAGUACCUAAGUCUAUUUCUUCAUUAUGCACCCACUCAAAUGCGUUGUGCCGACGGGCUAAUUAACAUCACCAUUCUAGAUAUAUCAUCAAAGAUUUUCUUUAUUAUUCAAAUUCAACAUUAUCCAAGUACUGAACUUUUUCCCCCAUUUGACGUUAGAUACUGUGGGUACAAUUUGAUGUUAAAUCCCACUAUAAUAUUUCAAUUCACCAUUUGUUCAAGUGCUGAUUUUUAUAGGAGUUAGAAGGUUAUAUGGUUGAGUUAUGAAUGGAAGGAGGAGAAAGAUUAUAAUAUGAUAAUGAUUCACAAUUAUAAAGGGGAAAGUCAAAUUAAAGUAAAGAUUGAAUGGUAAUGACGAAAAUAAUAUAAUUUAAUAAUUGAAAAAAAGAAUUAAUUUAAGAAUGAAAAGGAAUUGGCAUUAUGUGAAGAUACUGAAUGAAAUGGAAGGGAUGGAUGAUGAAGGGUACGGUGGUUACGGAGUACGGAAAUUCCAUUAAGGUGAGAAGAAUCGGAGAUUGAGAUUAGGUUGUCUGCCUUUUUCUACUGUUUCGUAUCGUUUUUUGCUUUGAUGUUUGUCCUCACUUUUUAAUUCCUUUUUCUUUUUUAAUUCUUUUUUGGAAGAAAAUUCCUAAAGGUUAGGUUUAAAAAAGGUUAUCUCUUACGUCCCACUAAAACCGUCUUCGGCCGAAAGGCCCAUUGGUUUUUGUCUUUCUCGCUUGGGCCGCACCCAUUUUUCCACUUCUGACACCAAACUCUCUAAACAAAUACAGAACAAUUUUGGUGAUAAAAGUGUUUAACAUAAAUAUAAUAUGUUCGACAAAUUUUGUUAUAUUUUUAUUUUUAAAAAUGUUUUUAUAUAUGUUAAUGCUUUAACAAAAUUUGUAAAAUAAUAAUAAAAAUAUUUUCUCGAGAAAAUAAUAAAUAACAUUUUUUUAAAAGAUAAAUCAACAAAAACAAUAAGAGUAAUUUAGAUGCAUUGAAAGUGCACAAACAAUUUUGUGUAUGUCAUUAACUAAUUACUUCCUUUUGGUAGAAGAAGGACAUUUCUGUAUGUAGUUUUGGAUGCUUGGUACGCACAGGCAUACAUUUCGUUCUUCAACUCCAAAUGAUUUCGUAUAUGAAUCGUGUCUUUUAAACUAAGAGUAUAUGUGUUGUUUAUCUAAAUAGUUGAAGGUUGCUAAUGACAUUCUUCUUCCCUUCCUCAAGCAUGUAUCCUACUAAUUAAGACUUGCCAUACAUAUGUUCAUGCCUUUACAUUAGUAAAGGUCUAGGUUCCUUUCCCUGGUGAAAGACUUGAGGAAUUUUUUUUGAAAUGAUUGAUUCUCAGGUAAAGUGACAUCUAUUUUAUCUAUGUAUAUUAUCGAUUUGAAAAAUUACAAUGAUGGCCUUUCAACAAUACAAGUUAAAAUUACACACCUAAAACUUUAAACUUAAUUCAUCAUCCUCUCAAACUUACAAAGGUUAGUUGUUCGUGAUAACUAUUAAAAACAAAAAUGGGCCAUGCGUGUGUUAAUAAAAUGUUAGGCAUGAUAGUUGAUUUCAUAACAACAUAUAGUUAGUAAUGAAUGAACAAUGAAAAAAAUUGUUGUGUGUGACAGAAAACAAUUGUGAUUUUCGUAGUCUUAUUUCUUCAAUACUUUAUCAAGAAAAUGCCAAGACACGCGUGGUAACAGUUGCCAUUAAUUACCAACAUAAUAUCAAAUUGAAUUCCACCAAAGUUGUUCAAAAGUCAAAAAUUCCACAUUUUGAUUAAAUCCAUUGUUUCCGUACCCAUUUCUAAUAAUUUCGAAAGUUUAAUACGAAAGAAAUAAAUUAAUAUCAUAUUCUAUUAUCUUUUUCAAAUCUUCAAACAUUGACAUCAACAAUUUAAACCGUUCAUCCGAUUAGACAAAAAGAAGGAAUAUAAAGUGAAAUUUUGCGAUGGAGAGAUUUUGUUCGUUUGGGCGGGAGGGUUUGGAGUUAUUAUUGAUGGAAAGGGUAAUUUGAGUAAAAUUGUAAAGUUGUGGCGGGACGGAAAGAGAUGGGCUGACGUGUUGGUUGUGGACUUCGGAAUGGGUCCAAUGGAUCCAGUCUCCUUCAACUUUGUCGGCCCACAAUACUCUUAACAAUAAUAAUAAUAAUAAUAAUUUAUAUUAUUUGAUUAGAGCAGCCGUACGUCCACAGUAAAAUUAGGGUUGUUUUGUUGCUGUUUAUUAAUUCCAUCCAAUUUUACGUCUCUUUCUAAAACUUCAAUUAACACUCACUAAUUAUGUCAAUUUUAUAAUUGAUUUACUAAAACAUGAGAGAUUUCAAUGUUGAAUCAAUUAAGACUAAUUGUACUGAGAUUUGAAAGGUGACAUUAAUUAUCUAUCUGUUCUUUCCAUCUUGUAAAUGGUAAAUAUGAAAAUAAAGAAUUUAGUGGAAACAAACUUCUAUUUCACACACAUAUAUAUUUGGUAACAAAUUAAAAAAUCGAAUUAUAAUAUAAACAAGAUGUAUCGUAAAAAAUAACAAAGCGACCAAAUUGUACAAAAUCAAGUGUAGUAAGUUUUUGUCGUUUCCUUGUGCUAUGGAUUGUGAAUAGUUUAUUUAUUUUGUAAUCAUUUAAAUAAUGGUGUUUAGAUGCAUUUAUACUAUAUUUAUAAAUAAAUAAAUAAGUUAUAAUUGUGAGAAUUGUCAAAAAUAGCAAAUUUGACAAAAUAUUUACAACAUAUAACAAAAUUUCAAAUUCUACUAAUAAUAAACAUUAAUAGACACUGAUAUGAUUCUAUUAGUGAUAUUGAUAAACAAUUAUAUAAAUUUUUAUCUUGGAUAUAAUCCAAAAUUUUGCUAUAUCUUAUUAAUAUUUUGAUAUUUAAAAAAGUGACUGUCAUAGUUACUCAAUAAAUAUUGAUAUUUAUAAAUAAUAAUGUAUUAUUAAUUUAUUUACCAGCCACGUUAAGUAAUUUUUGUAAUAUCAUAUAAUUUAUAAUACAUGGUAUUUAUAUUUUAAUUGAAAAGAAUAUAUAUUGAGUUUAUAAAGUUCAAAAUUUAAAAUCAUGAUAGAACAAAAUUAUUAUUUGUAGAAACAAAUAUCAACAAAAUGUCAAUAAUUUAAAGAUUAAUGGGGGGUGGUGGUGGUGGUCUGGUUUUGGUAUAUUGUUUAGAAAAAGCCAUUUAUGGGGAAAAUUAAUUGUUAGAAAACAUGGGCUUAUUAGGAAAUAUUUCAACUCUCUUUCUUCCUUCUCAUUUCCCUUAUAUGUAGAGAUGCUUUUUUAUUACACCAACUUUGUGUAUUUGGAUAUAUUUGUUAAUGUAUUAAUUAUUCCAAUCAUUAACAGACAAGUUAAUAGAUAUAUAAAACCAUUCUUGUAUAUAAUAAAAAUGGCUAUAGAGUUUGAAGCAGCCUGAAAAACAUCUCAAGUUUGUAGAAAUUAAAAAAAAGAAAGAAGAAUAAAAACGAUAUUCAUAAUUUCAUAUUAAGAAAAGAUAAUUAAGUAUGGAUGGUCUAUGAGUUGGCCAAUCCAACAAGAGAUAAAUAAAUAAACAAAGGAGAGGCAAAGGGAUUGAUUUUCUUGGAAAUUGGGUAAGUUCAAAACCAACUCAUUCUUUUCCCCAAUCAAUUAUUAUUUAACGUCCCAAUUUCCAAGUUGAUCCAAACUCAAAACACAAAACCAUUAUCAUAUUUAUUAUUUUUGUUCUAAAGUUUAGAGUGUGUGUGUGUGUGACAGUAUAUGAACUGUAUAUUCAUAUCUUCAAAUUUGUAUUCAUAUAUGUUUUAUUUGUGCAGUUUUUUGCUUUCUUUAAUUUGUCAAUUUCACGACACCUUUAGGUUAAGAAAUCAAUGCGUCACACAAACCAAACUAAAAGAAAAGAAAAGAAAAAACUUAUCUUUGAAACAGUCAAAAUAGAAGAUUGAAAUUAUAACAAUAUAGUUUGAUUUAAUUGUCCACUUGAAUGAGAUUAAUUAAGACAUCAUAUUGCAUCCUCAUCUACGUCAACCAAUUAAAGCCCACGUCUUAAAUCGACUAAGAACAUUAAUGAAUUUAAACCAUGAUUAUUGUUUGGAAGAAAACUUCUUAGAAAUUUUUGUAUUGAUAUCUUUUGGAAAGUUAAACACAUAUUGGAAUCUUGUUUUAAUUAUUGUAUAGGAUGAUGUUCAACUUAGGUAUGAACUUUAUCUAAUGUAGUUUAAAGAAUAUGAAAUCCAUAUUUUAAUCAAAUGUGUGUGUGAUCUUAUCCAUAUUUAUAUAAAUAAAAUAAAUGGUCAACUAUAUUGAUCAUUUUUUUUUAAAUUACACAAAUUAAUAAAUAGUUGCAAACAUUGAAACACAUAUCGAAACGUUUUGUAAAUUUAAGAUAUUCUUUAGUAUAAAUCAUACCAUAUAAUGAGAUCGACGUUAUUUAUAAUUUCUUUCAGAUAUAUAUCUAAGAUUACUGUUACAUGUACUUCCAAAAGGAAAAAAAUAAACAACCGUAUUAAUAUUUUGAUAAACUAUUAUAUUGUCUUAACUAGUAGAAAACCAAAAAAAUUUAAUGAGUAUGUAAAAGUAAGAGGUCUAUUGAUCGUAGCAUAUAUGGUUUAUCGUUAAGUUUUAAUUACAAAGUUUGAUAUAAUUUCUUAUAUUAGUUUUUCUACCAAAAAAGAUAGAGAAUUGAUGAACUCAAAGGCUUUGCAGAGUAAUUGGAACGAAAUUAGAGGUUGGAAUUUAAGUAUGACAUCAAAAUGAAUACAUUAAAACCCAUUUUGAGCUUAUAAUCAAUUAAUCUAUGUUCAUAUAUAUAUAUAUACAGAGAGAGAGAGAGAGAGAGAGGAGAGGAGAGAAAGAGUAUGAUAUUUUGGUAUAUAUGAAAGUAACACAUAAUCAAUAAUUGAAUGUAAAAUAAAAUAAUAAAAGUAUGAUUAGGGAAAGAAAAUAAUAAUAUAAACGUUGGGUGGGGGUGGGGUAUCCUAAAACGGGGUUUGAGGAAUUCCACGUGUACCGAAGUGAGGUUGGUUGUAUAGAAAUUCUAUAAAUCCCGGAGUUUGAACAUUUUUGUAACUAAAGAAAAGGAAAAGGAAAAUGAAAGAAUUGAAAGGAAAAGAGAGAAUAUAGUGUAGGAUGAAAUUUUCACAAAGCUUAUAAAAUUAAAAAGAAUUGAAUUAUUGGGUAUCUAUCUCUGCCUCCUCCUUCUCCUUCUCCUUCCCCUUCCCCUUCCCCUUCCCCCCAUCUCUAUCCGGACGAAGCUAUGGGAGCUCUCUCCGAGUUCUUCUCCCACCUCCACACAAUGACCGCAGUCUUCUUCACCCUCUUACUUCUCGAAUUCGUUAUUCUCAUUCGUACCAUCUUCGGCUUAAGACCUAACUCCGACAAGCGCGUAAUCACGACCGCUCAGUUUUUCAAACUCAUCGAAGACAAGAAUCCCACCAUCCGUUUCUCAAAUAAGGUCACCCCAAGUAUCGCCGAUCAGUGUGCCGUUUGCCUCUCUGAAUUCGAGGAAGGAGAGAAGGUACGGAAAUUGCAAUGCAACCACACUUUUCACAAGGAUUGUCUCGAUAAUUGGUUGAAACUCUGUUUCGCUACCUGUCCGCUUUGCCGGAGUAAGGUUUUGCCGGACGAUAUCGUCGCCGGCUACCAUAGGCUUCGAGACCGUGUAGAGUACGACGGCAGUGACGAGGAGCUCAUCUUUUUGUUAUCGGCAUUACAUGGUAACAGUAUAUAUAGAUUUUUCUAGGGCGAAACACCAAUUUUAUUUUGUUUUUAAUCACAGAAUAGAAUUAAACAACAUAGAAUGUUGAUUUUCUGUAGAUUAACUAGGGAAAUAUUGUUUUUCUCCCCUUCAUUGACGAGCAAUAACGUUAAGGGAACAGCUCGUUUCUGGUUCGAUCGAUCUCUCUAGCUAGAUCGAGAUAAAUCUAAAUCGUGUAUGUUUCUCUUUACUUGCAAUUACGCAACCCAACUGUUAGAUGUGUUGUUUGCAUGAUUGCUUCCUACUCUUCUUGGUCAUUCGUCAACGAAUCAUUAAUUUUGGAGACACCCAAUUUACAUCUUGACGGAGACCCUUUUUUUUUUUUUAACCCAAUAACGCACUGAAAUCCUCACUAAAAUCAUCCAAAUCACAACAACUUUUUUCCAUCAGGUUAAACUAAUCCAAAUGAUCUAUUGAGAUCUUUAAGAUAUUGGAUGAUCGUCUAUUAGUCUCUCUUGAUGUGGGCUUGUUGUCUCCGUAGGACCAGGAGUUAUGGUGCGAACUUAAUUCUAUAAUUUUAGUGGAUGCGAGUUGGUGAUCUAAUUUAUGGUUCUCUUACAAUGUAAAUAGAACAUGGUAUGUGAUGGCAUUUAUUAAGAACAUUGAGUGAAAGGAGAAGCAUUCAAAAUUUGAUGGAUUCUCCCUUGAUAUUUUCAUGGGGAUUUAGGUGGAGAUGGUAGGAGAAGGACUUAAUGCUCUGUAUCUAAAUGCACAACAAACUGAUUGAGCUCAUUUUCUCUAUAGUUAAACCCCGAUGGCGAAAGUGAAAACUAAUGGAUUGUGUUUAGCUCACCAGCACAUUUAUCGAAGAAUAGGUUUGCACGUUAAUCGAAAAACUUCAUUUUACACCACUACAACCUAAAGACAAACUUACUAAACACAACAUAUUAACUCUAUACUUAAACAAACUUGAAAUGUUUCUCAUUGGGAUGAUCUGAAACUAAAGCCACAAGCCCCCCUCCCUUUUUUUUUAAUGUUUGGAUCUCGUUACUUCCUCGAAGCUUUUGAAACAGUUUGGAGUUUGUUUUCUUCCACUUUUGAACACCCACCAAAAGAUGAGGGCAACUGAGGACACGGUCUUUAAAGAACAGUGAUUAGGUGAGAUGAGUUGCAUUAUUGAAGUCAGUGUGUUUAACUUUUUAGCAUUACCAGAAUCAGGGGAUGGGUGAAAGAGGAGAAGAAGCAAAGCAAAAACAGGUUUUAGAUGAUGAAGCCAAAUACCUAUUUACUGUUGGUGAGAAUAAGUUUGUCCUAAAUGGGGUUGUGGGAGCUACAGUAGUUCGCAUGAUGUACUGAAUUGUUCUGUAUGUCGGACAAUAGCAAUAAGUUGAAAUGUUAAACAGGCAAAAUCUCGUGGUGGAGCAGCGGAGGGUAAUUCAUAAGAUUUGACAUUUAAUGUCAGAUUCAAAAAAGUGGAUGAACAACUUCAAUAGUAAAGUAAUAGUACCACAAACCAGAAGUAACGCAUAUGGGGGAGAUGAAUCCUUAUCUAUUUUGGAAAUGGGGUUUGUUGUUGGUUUGAUUCAUUCCUUUUUCAAUUUUUCAGGGUUGAAUUUUAUUUGGUGCAUAUCCGUUUCCCUUUUUAACCAUGGAAUAUAUUGCUGAAAAUAAAAAAUAUGACUCUGUUUAGGUCAUGAGUUGGUAAGAAAUUAAGAUGCAACAGAUUCGUUUGGGUAAGAGUAAUAUUUGAUUGAAGAUGUGCGCCCAUUUCUAUGUAUCUCUUUCAAUUACAAAACAAAGAAUGAUUCAAACAAAAUUAAAACAACAUGGGGUAUCCUAAGCAACACAUAUAUAUUCAUCUAAGUGUCCAAUCAUGGAAUAUGCUACGUAUUGUUGUUAUUCCUUUCUUCAAUCGUGGAAUACAUCGUGAAAAUGUUAAAGUGAGCCCUGUCUGUUUAGGUCAUCGGUCAUGAGUUUGGUUAGUAAAGUGCAAUUGAUCUCGUUGAAAAAGAGUAAUGUUAGGGUCAAGUGUUGCAUCUAGUUGUGUAGUUCCUUCAAUUGAUCCAUCAAAAGUUGUCAUGUAAUAAAGUUUCUUUAUUUUUGCUUAAAAAAUUAUUUUAAGCCUCUUUUUGUUUGUGAUGGAAGAAAACAAGUAUAUGUAUACAUACAUUUAUACACGAUAAACUUGUAAUUAAACAUUUGAAAUGCGUCUCACCUGGUGAGUUGAGUUUGAAUUGUGAAGAAAGAAAUAAUUUAAUGAAUUGAUUGAAAGCUACAUUAUAUAUAGGUUGGUUUAUUGAAGUCAUUAAAUAUACAUUAUACAAAGAAGUAAUCUUUUAAAAACACAUGGCCACCACCAACUCCUAUCUGUAAGUUUGGUUCAGGGCUCAAAAUUAGAGACAUUCAGGAUGAUCAACAUCAUCUCUCUCAAUAAAUACAAAUGAUUAUAAGUCGAUUAAAUCUUUCUUUCUACAAUAAGAUAGUUAAAUAAAUGAAUUAAAACUAAUCAUUAUUUUUGCACAUCAAAUCAACCACUAUCACAUUAAAUAAUCAAUAAAUUUGAAGGAAAAAAAAGUCUUAAUCAAUAAAUUUGAAGGAAAAAAAAGUCUUAAUCAAUAAAUUUGAAGGAAAAACAAAGUCUUCGUCAACUUUUAUAAUUGUAAUUUGUGUGGGAGUAUGUAUUUAUAAUAUUUGUCUAAAUAAAAUAACUAUUAAAUUAGCAAGGGUGUUUGAGAUUUAUAGUUGCGUAUUGAUUUUAGAAAAACAAAUUUAAGUACAAUUUUUCUUUUAUAAAAUUGAUAUGAAACUUGUAAACAAAAUUUUUAUAUAUUUAGAAAUGAUUUUGAAUCAUUAUUGUUUAGAUUUUGAAUCAUUAUUGUUAUUAUAUUUUUUGAUUUGAGAAAUAGUUAUGUUAGUAUAUAAUUGUUUGUUUUAUAAAUAAUUUAAUGAUGUACAUUCUUUUAUUCCAAUAUUUUAUAAAAAGAAAACUGAAUUAGACAUCCAUUUUGGGAGUGGUUGAUUGAAAAUCACCCAACAAAAAUUACCAAUAACCUAAUUCGUUUUUUAAACGAUUUUAUAUUUAUUUUAGUUCAUGUCAAACAAGAAAAAGUGAUUUUGGACAAACACAAAAAAGUAUAUAUCUAAAUAUGGUGAUAUGGAUAGUUAUUAUGGCAACCAUGGAUAGAACUUGGAAUCAACUACAACUACAACUUUGGAAACAAAACCAAACCAAAACAAAAUUCAUAAUUCAUUAGAUGAACUUCUUAGUAAAUUAUUUUUAUAUACAUCCGUAUAUAUCCCCAUUAGAUGAUCAAAUUUACACUUUAUAUGAGAUUUAAUGUAGAAAUAGACUUUGGAUGUUCAAAACCUAACUUUUAACAGCUUGGACUUGAAAACAAUGAAUUUGAAAAGUACUUUAAAAAGUAACUUUUCCUUCUUACAAAAAAACCAAACCUAAAUUGACGAAAUUUUGAAUAAAUUAAACCAAAAUGGCCUCUCAGAUAAGACACAAAUGUGUCACCAUAACAACCUUUACCAUCAUUUGAUUUACACUCUUAAUUUCACUUUCACUUUCUUUGAAUGCCACCAAAAUUUCAUAACUAUAUAUCAAUUACAUAAAGAGAUAUCACGACCAUAAUUAUAAUUACGAGUUGAAAAGCUCACAAGGUAAUUUAUUUAAAAUUUUGUCUACGAUUUAAUAUCAAAUAUAAAUAUCAAAUUAUUAUUGAUACCAUCUUAGAUGGUGGAUUGAUCCCAAAUCAUAACUAUGAACAACUAAAUUCAUUGAUUUUUCAAUAUGGGAUCUGAACAGCCUCAUCCAUCCACCAUAUCACAUAUUUAAAAGCACCAACUAAGUGGCCAACUCUCGAUGAUUUCUUGAAAACCAAAUCAUCCAUCUUUUCCCAACAUUCAUAUGGUUAAUUCAAACCCUAUAAUAAUCAUCAAAUCAUAAUACAAUCCCACCCUUCUUCUCUCGAAUUCAAAAGCAUUUCAAAACUAAUAGAAUCCAAAAAAGGAAAAAAGAAAAAAAAAAUGUACAGAUUUGAGAGAGAGAGAGAGAGAGACGAGAAACAUUUACAAUAUAUAUAUAUAUAUAUAAACCCAAUAGAGGAACUCAAGCUGAGAAGAACCCAGUGGAAGCAGCUCGACCAAUUUGAGAUUUGGGUUCAAAAACCCAAUUGAAUUCCGACAUCUCAGCAGAGUAAUUAUGCUUUUUUGCCAUUUCCAUCAUCUUCUUCAUCCUAAUUGAAGUAGCAGUUGCAGAUAUGGAAACCCCAGAAGAACCCAACUCUUGAAGCUCUUGCCUGAUCAUCUCUUGACCUCGCCUUGGAUUCUUCGUCCUCCUCUCGUAUUCCUCUGCUACAAGAAUUGCAAUAUCCGCCAUGGCUGUGAUUUUUCAACUCUCCCUCUUAGUUGAUUUUGAGGAGACCCCUUUAGGAGGAUGACAUAAUUUAUAUUCAGAUUGAGGUAUGAUUGUGGAUAAGGCUGACAAGUCGGUGUAGUGUAUAAAAGAAAUAAAAAAAAGUGACCUUUGAUGACUUAGUCUGGUUUUUUGGGCAUUUUGGUUUUACUUUUUCUAUGGGUGGACCCUUUGUGGAGAAAUUUGAUUGUAUUAUAUUGUAUAUCUAUAAAAUAUACACAUGUAUAUUGUAUUUCAUUGAAGGGUCUUCUUUGAUUGUGCCAAUACCCAAAUAAAGGGGUUUCUUGGCAACAAAGUUGGGAUAGUUGUGUGAAUUAUAAUAGAAUAUAUCAGUAUUUCAAAAUUCUAAUGGAACACGUAUUCUUAAUAAACUUAUAAAGAAUUUACAGAUUGUUAAAUGAUACAAGAAUUGUUAAUUGAGAACAAUGAGAUUAUGUAUAUUGUGAUAGAUAGGAUAGAAAACCUAUCCAUUAUAAUGGAUGUCUUGUGGUGUUUUCAAUGAAGUUGGUGGUGGAAAUUUUGUAGGCAAUAUUCUAGUGGGUUUGGUGGGGGGGAGGAAUGGUAAAAGGCAAUACCAAUAGUUCAGGACUUGUAAAUGAUAAAGAAAAAAAAAAAGAAACCAACUCCACAAUGUUAAUUAUCUCAAACUCUUUCUUAAUAAAUGUCUGUCCUAUUCAACCUUCUCCUUCAAACAAUGAAGAGAGGGUAACUCUUCUUUGCUUUUCAAUAAUAAUAAUAAAAAAAACAUAUCUUUCUUUUGAAGCAAACUAGCAAAAUUGUUGAAAAAAAUAUUGAUAAAUAUAGUCAAAUUUUAUAUAUUUCUUAGUGUAAAAAAUAUGGAAACGGAAAAGCAAAAGGAAAGUGGUUUUUGAGAAUCGGAAAACAGCGAAACUGAGCAAAUGGUUUUGAUCUCAAAAACCAAAACCAUCACCGACAAACGCAUAACACAUCAGAUUCAUGUAACUAAUACGUGUCUAAUUACUAUUUGUUCUUCAAAUUAAUUAUAUAUUUCGUAGUACACAAUACGUGGCAUCAUAUUACUGGUUGUGGGCGGUGACAAGUCCACAGUCCACGCAUUUUCUUUUGUUUACUCUUUUAAAUCAUUCAUGCAUCUUAUUAAUUAGCUUCUAAAUAAUUCAUAAUUUAACCAUAGUAAUCAUAAUAAUGUCAUAAAUUAUACACACAUUUCAAUAAAUUUUAUUAAUGUAAUCAAUUUCAGUGUUUGGCAAAUAAAUUUCACUCUUCCAAUAUAUACCUAUUAAUAAUGAAUUUGAUUGGAGUUUUUCUAGUGCAUUAUUCUAUCCUUGUGAUAUUUAGAAGCACAUAUUUUAUAAUUAGGUUAUUCUUAAUGGAAAGUAAACUAAUGUAGUCAUAGUUAGUACUUAGUAAUUAGGCUGCAACUUACCCACUUGUUUAUAAAUCGAUGGUAAUUUUAGUUAGUGUAUUUCAUUUUAUUACACUUUUUUUUAAUCUAUAUUUCGUAAUCCUAUGAAAAUAAUGAGUUCACCUUGAAUUGAAAAAUUGAGAGUACUCAAUUGGACUGCAUUUGAGAUUUAUGUGAAACUCACUUUCGUUAUUGUUACUAUCACGAUAUUAAUUAGAAUUAUGAUAAAUGUUAUAUUCUUAGUUAUUGUUAUUCGGUAACAAUAACUAGUGAUAAAUUAUGUAUAGCAAGAUUGUAACUAUAGAUGCGAUAACUCGUAAUUGAAACUCAUUUCAAUUGAUUCAUUAAUAAAAUUUCAUUUUUAAAAAAUAAUAAAACUUUUUUUAUUAUGGUUUGGUAAACAUAACUCUAAUGUUAUAACAACUUUCUUUACAUCUCGAUUACAAUAACCAAUUUAGGCGAACAUAUUCCAGUCAAAACUUGAUCUUUUUAUAAUAAAAAUCCUAAGGAAAGUCCACUUUUAAAAUGCUAAGAUGUGCUUAAUAUUUACAAAAGUGUCGUUUUAAAAGAAUUGAAUUAUCUAUCGACUCAUCAGCAAGAAUCUCAUACUUAUCACCAUCCAGUUCUUGACAAAUGGGAGAUAAGAAUGAGAAAUAUAUAUAUAUAUAUAUAUAUAUAUAUACCUGCAGGCCAAGGGAGGUUUAGUUAUUUUUAAAAAGAAUGAUAAAAAUGUGCCUAAGAAAGAGGAAGACGGAAGUGAUAGUAGAAAACUCACAAAUAUAAUAUACUUUAUACUCAGUAAGAGAAACGUUAAAAGCAUAUUAAUUUGGAGACAUUUGUCAGUUUUGAUUGUAGGUAUUCAAAUUCGUUCCCAUUCCCUUUCCUCAAACGGAUAAGACGAAAGAAAGUAAGAAAGAUCACGAGCUUCAUCAAGCUAGCCAUUCUAAGAAUACAGAAGAAAAGGCUGAGGGUGUCACACAUCUGAGAGCAUAUGUAUAGGACUUUCUUGGUCCAAAGUAACUUGUAGUAAGUGCAACUGAGCAGCAAAAGCAUAUGGUGAGUUCAAGCUUCAACAGGUGCUCUUCUGGGCAAAGUGAAAAACUGACACAUUUCAUCUCAUAAAAGGCCAAGAGUUUUGAGCUGUUGAACGUGCUCUGCAGGAAGUGGUGGAGGCAACCAGUCAGAUCCUGUCAUCUCCCCAUCUACAUCUUCCACAACAUAUUCCUGUGAGAAAUCAAAACAUCCCAAAAAUAUAGUAAUCAAUCAAAAACCUAACCAACCAACAUAUUAUUCACAAGUGAAACUUUCUAGUCGUAAUUAGUCCAUUCUUGCCAAUUCAAGAAUAGCACAAAUUGCACAAUUACCAUCCGAAAAUUGCUGGUUGAUCCUCCAACCUCCUACAAAAAUGGUCGAUUCACAAUCAAUCCAUCCAUGGGAAUAUGUCAUUUGGUUUUAGUGUCCCCCACUCCUGUUAUCUUUCUCAUCCCAAAGACCAAUAAGACAGCCCUCGUGAAUGGAUGUGCUCGGCCAGCUGGGCAUCCACCUUCAUCCAUGAUGUUUGGCUUUUAUUUUCAUUUUCUAACGGGGUGUGUUUGGACGACUAGUAAUUUUGCUCUCUUUUAAAUCAUGGGAUUUACUGAAAUUUUUUAAGAGUACUUCUAAUCUAAAACACUUUUCUUUAAUCACACGCAGUUUGAAAAUUUGUAAAAGUAGAUAAAAGGCACUUAAAAAAGUACUUUUAGAUGAAACAUUUCAUUAGUUUUGCUUACAAAAUAAAUGCUUCACUUAAGAACACAUUUUUCAAAAUGAAAUCUCAGACUCGCCCAAAUUUAGUUGGUUCUGUUUAUUUCAAUAGCCAGUCUAGUGUACAGAAAAAGAAACCAUAUUCAAGUAUUUACACUCCUAGCUCAGAGUUUGAAAGUUAUGCACAAAUAAAUCUCAAAAGAGAUCAAUCAACUCACCUUUGUUAGCAUUCUUUUCGCAAGUAUGUGAUAGUGUCGUUGCCAUAUUCGUUGGCCAACCAUGGUAGCCACCAAGACACUAUAGAAUAUACCAAUCACUGUGAACAAACCAAGAACAAUCAAGGCCAUUAUAAGUAAUAAUGGCAGUCCUGCUUCACCAGCACCUCCUAGGCAUCCACAUUCAGUUGCAAUGCUUCCACAACUUUCGAAGCAAGUGGUACAGUCGGUCCACAUACAAAGAGUACCAGGUAAAUGACAGUCUGCACAUAGUCUGGAAAGAUGCAAGAAACACAUAAAAAUAUGAUGCUGGUGAAUAAACUAAAAAUACUAUUGUUUGGAAAAUAUUUCCAGCAUUUAUAUAUUAUAAUUUGAUGAAGAUAGAUAUAACGAGCUUUGAUAAGGAUUUUAGUCAUCAAUCUAAAAUAGCUUGAACGAAUUCUUAGCUUGGCUAAAUAUUGAAUAUUCUAUAUUUCCAGCAACAUUCUUUCACUACAAUGGGACGGGAAGCAGAAUAGAGAAAGAUCAGUCGUGUUAGAGAAUCAUCACUGCAUGGCAGCAGUUAUGCCAAAGAAUGAGCCUACGCUCCUCAACAAGCAUUGUUAAAAUUUGAAAACAAUAAAAUUUUAACAUAAUUAAAAAAGAAACUGCAAAAUAUGGAUUUAUACCCAGGGUGGCAACAACAUAGACACAAUUCUCUACAUGGUUGAGCCAAAUCACUCCUAACUCUUCGAUCAUAACAAGUGAUGAAGCAGCCAGAUACGCCGAGCAAUGCAAAAAAUAAUAAAGCCCCUGCAUAGGAAAUAACGCAAACUAGUAAAAACAGAAUUGAAAGAACUGAAAUAUGUCUUUCGAUUUUGUAGAACAGAAUAGCAUCUAACAUAAAGAAAUAAAAUAAAUUAAAAUUGUCUCUCUACUUUGAGGUUUGUUCAACUUUAAUCCACAUACUUUCAAAUAUUCAAUUUUUGCCCAUGUACAAAGCUUAAUAUUUUUCUAAAAAAAUCAAAAUUGGCUAAAUAAUAACAAUAACUUUCACGUAAAGAAAUAUGAUAUGUGAAUAUAUUUUCAAAAUUUAUAGUGAAAAUGCUAAGAAAUAUCAAAAAAUUAUUUUAAAAAAACAUUAAUAAGCAUGCAGGAGGGACUAAAUUAUAGAUUACUUGAAAAAGUUGAGACAAAAAUUGAUCAUUUAAAAGUACAAGGACUAAAAUUGAACCAAAUUUAAAUUAUAGGGACCAAAUUGAUAUUGCAUAUUUCAAGUUGACUCAAUAUAAUACUCAUACAGUGAAGGACCAUAAUCCAUUAACUACUUCCUCCUUAUGAGGUUCAACAACAAUAUGAAUAAAAUAUUGCGAUAAUGUAAUAAGCACAUUUUUUUCAGCUGUUGUUCUUUGCCCUCAAACUUUCAUUAGUUUUCAUUAAUUUCUAUGAAGCACAAAAGAUUUCCCAUCUCUCUACACACUUUAUCUCACAGGCUUUUUUUCCAUACAUAAUCUCACCCUGGUCUCUCUAGUCUCUACACUCCUCUACUACACAGUUCCUCUCAUCAUCAACUUCUUUCUAAAAAGUAAAAACAACCUCUCAACAAUUCUUCUCACUAUCACAACUUUUACAAUUUUAGAUACACCCCGACUAGUAGCUUACCAAUUCUUAAUAUACUUUUAAUUAAAACUUAAAAGACACUCCUUUCUAACUAAAGCACACCGCAAAAGUACUUAAAAAGUUAGAAUUAAAUAAGCAAACGAUAUAUUAUUACUUAUCAUCAAAGUUCUUAUGUUAAAAGUUCUUUGGAUGUGAACCCAUAAAAGUCAGAAGCGCUCUAAGCAGACCAGCAAACAAGGUCACUAAGACAAACUGCUUGAAGCUAUGGGCCAAACAAGAUUAUGCCCUAAUGCUAUAACAUAAAUUGUGCAUGCAAAGCUUGAAUCAGCCAAUUGAGAUUUUACCGCAUAUGUAAUAAAAACUAAUUUUGCUAUCAAAACCCCAAGUAAGACGAAGCCAGUAAUGUUGACAACCAUCUAUUAAGUAUGUCAAAUAUCCCAGAGAAGCAAUUACCUGCACAAAGAUAAACAAAGGAAUAUAAACUAUUCUACAGAAAAAUAAUCUCAUGCUACAACAUAACUUGGUUUGGCAAUAAAUUAAAUAGAAACAAAAUAAAACUUACAAGCUGAACCGCCAAAAAUAUAAAUAUAAUGUCUCUAGUCACAAAAAAUCGAAAUUUCAGGGUUCGCCAUUUUCUGUCAGCAACAGCAUGUACUCUCAAAUGGUAAGGGGCCUUACAUGUGGUACAGUGAGCAAAAGCAAACCCUUCCUGCAAUUUUAAUCACGGAUGACCAAAUGUAACUAAAUGAUGGCUAUAGAAAUUUCCUUAUUUAUUUUCCUAAAUAAACAUAGAACCAGUCUAAGAAGACAAAAACGAGACUGUAAAUAUGACUGGUGCGGGCGGAUACAAAUACCGCCCAAGAGUAGUGAUAUUCUUUAUUUUGUUAAUUACCCUAAAUUAGAGUCAAUCGUGUGAUAAAAAUUGAAACUUAAAAAAUGCUGGUGCAAGGAGAACAGAGUUAAUAAUGGCAAAAUACGAGUUAAUUUCUUAAGCAAUAAAAGGUAUCGUAACAAUCACUUGUUAAGGCUGAACUUAGUCAUUAAGGUGAGGAAAAUAUAACCAUGCAAAUUCAGGGAAUCAUGGGUGUAUUAUCAGCAACUUCAUUUGAAAAUUCAAUCACAAUAACUAAACUUACAUUGAAACCACCAGCAUUCAAGAUAGCAUUCAUACCUUCACGGCUCGCCAAUGAUCCAGACAUUCUCGAUGAACAUAUUUGGAUGUCCCUUUGCAUUUGCAAGGAGCAAUAAAAUCCCUACCUGAUCAUGUAAUGAAACACGCACAUUGGUUAAUUUAAAUACUCCCAUAGUCUCAGUGUGAUACCCCCCUCUCCUACCGUUAUACAAACUUUCAAGUGAACAGUCAACUCCAAAGAAUUCUAAAGCACGAAUGGCCAAGUGGAUGGGGAAUGUUAACAUCGCUUGUCAAACGAUCAAAUUAACGAAUUUUUAACACCGAAGAACCUAAUUAAUUAGACUUCAAGUCUCACGGUAUUGAAAGAAACAAUGAUCAUAAGAAAACACAUCGUAAUUUCGGAAAAUUAAGAUUCUAGGGUCCAAAGAACUUCGCCUAAAACGCUGCACUGAGCCAUUGAUUAUAAAGCAAGCAGAAGAAAUUAGGUUCCACAAUGAUUUCCCGGAAGGAAAAUGUGGAACAUACCCAAACGAAAACAACCCCACCAACCGUACGAAAACAGUCGAAACCUAACAAAAACUGAAAAACAUAGGAACGAGGAAUUACCAUCGGUCUCAAGGCAAAUUCUACACUGAAUUUGUUCCCCUUGACCAGCUUCAAGGUCGAUCUCACUAGGGUCGGUGAUCGGCGCCGGAGGAAUAAGAGGGGAAGAAUCUGACGGUUGACCCGCCAUAAGGAGUUAAGAAGCGGAAAAACACAAAAAAAAAAAAAAAAUGGUGGGAAAAAAGUGGAGGAGAAUUAGGAUAGCAUGAAGAAGAAAUAAGGGAUCUCCAUGUAAAAGAGUUGUAAGCCCAGAGAGAAUAAUAAUGGUGAAGCAGGAAGAAAGCAAGAGAUUGUGUAGAAGUGUAGAGCAGAAAGUGGUUGAAUGUCUUUCUUCCCAAAAUGGCCACAGCCUUCACCAUUUUUUGACCAACUUAUCCUUCAAUCCCUUAAAACUCUUUUCUAUUUCUAUCACAUCAAAUUUUAUAACUCAUUCUUUUUUUUUUUUUUUUUUCAAUUACAAAAUUUUAUAUCAAUUUAGUUCAUAAAUAUUUUAAUACUAUGAAGCUGGAGUAUGAAGUUUUGUUUGCCAACAAAUUGGCUUAUAAACAGUCACAAUCAUAACUACUAUAUAUAAAUUGAAAUUUGAAUUAUUGUUUGUUUUUUUUUAAUUUUUAAUUUAAGUAUUGAUUCGAUGCCUUUUCAAAAAUACCAAAUCCUCACAACUUUUUUCAUUAAAUUUAAGUUUUCUUUUUCUAUCCACAACAAUUCCAACGUAAAAAUGAUAAAUGUGUUGUAACUUCUAUAAGAAAUCUUUUUUAUAAGAAAAACAAAUUAUCUAUACGUUACACGUAAUUUGCAGUUAGUUGGGUUUAUAUGAUAAAUUUACAAUACCUUAGUUUAUUACUUGGUAUAAGAAUAAUAAAAAUCUAUUUACGUAAUAUUUAUAAUAUUAUCAUUAUUAUUUAACAUUUCUUUGGUUAUUUUUAUAAUGUUGUCCUUAUUACUUAUUAUUUAACAUUACUUUGGUUUUUCUCCAAUGAUAAUUAUUUAUUAAUAAAAUGUGAUCUCCUUUCAUUAUCAAAAAGAAAUAUAAAAAAAUCUGAACUCAUAUUACUCUUUUAUUUCCUUUGUUGCCCUUUACCCUUUAUAUGAAAAAUAGGGAGAGAAUAGUUUAAACAAUGUGAUUUGGGCAGCGAAAAGUGAACUCCUUCCAUUAUCAAAUUAAUUAAAGCAUUGAAACUAAUCGCCGUUUAUCACUGCUGCAGCUAAAAAAGUUCAAAGGUACUCUAAAAUUAUGCAGCGGAGACAUAAUUACUAAUUUGGAACACAUCCUAACAAACGUUCUCAAGAAGCUAAAAUAAAAAUUUUUAAAAGAAAAAAAAAAAAACCCAAAAGUCGGGGGAACAAAGCUACAUAUGAAAAGUGUCUAUGUCCGCUUUUUCAUCUCCCUAUUUUUUUUUACUUCUUCCUCUUCUUGGGAGGCUGGAGUGCUUCCUCGUCUUCGUCCUCGUCCUCUUCGUCCUCGUCAUCUGCUACUUCGUCUUCAUCCUCUCCACCAUCAUCAUCGUCGUCGUCAUCACCAUCUUCGUCGUCGUCAUCCUCAUCGCCAUCAUCGUUAUCAUCAUCAUCAUCACCAUCAUCGUCUUGAUCCUCCUCCCCGUCAAACUCUUCUUCUUCCUCUCCAUUCUCUUCCGCCCCACCAGCUCCACCCUCUGGAUUCUUCUUAGAAUUACUUUUGUUAUUAUCGUUGAGGUUGUUGGUGUAGUCAUCUCCAUCUUCAGAUGAUAAAUCCUCUUCACCUUCACCUUCACUCAAGUCGCCAUCCCCAUCACCUUCAUCGUCAUCAUCAACAUCUCCUCCAGCAUCGAGCGGUGUGGACGAGGGGCACAGGGUGGAACUAUCUCCUUUCAUUUCAGGAUUGAUCAGAAAUGCACCAAGAGAAUCCUGCAACAAAAUUCCCAAGAGUACAAUGGUCCAUAAGGUUAAGCAUGUCAGCGACCAAAAACAUCACUUCAAAAAUGGUCGUUGCAAUCAAAGAAAAACAGACAGAGAAACCACACAAGGACUAUCAAUUUCUAUGUUCCUUAUACACUUGAACUCAACAUAGUAGGCAAUAGAUUUUAAUGAAAACAUUAAUGCUAAAACAACGUAGCCGCUACCAGUUCACCUGAAUUUCCUUUUAAAAAGUCAAAUUGAUAGUAAUGCCUCAGAAUUUCUUUUGUUUUACAAUUUCAAAACAUGAUGAUUAGUAACGAUAAGGACAUAUUAAAAUAUUUAACAGAAUAUGAUGGGACAUAUUAACAGAAAUGAAUAGUAUGGCAGGCGUACAUUUGUUUAUUCCCCCCCGUCUCAGUCCUCCAAUUUGACAAUCUCUGUUUUUACUUUAACCUCCUCCCCUUUUUAUUUUAUUUUUUCCCCAUGUCUUUUCUUGUCGGGAUCUGGUCACCAACCAAAGUGAUAAAGAACCCACUUUAACGUUUAAAUUACCCACUAAUUUUAAUCAGCUACUUCAAUUGAAUGUCAUAAAUGGCAUCCAUUAAGAAGCAGAAAGGCAGAGGAUGGUGGGAAGGGAAUAAACUUCCCAAUCACAAUCGGGCGGGCACUAUCAUAAGCUAGAAAUAGAUACAGGAAGAUGAAAAGAUAAUCUUUUGGGCACUAGAAACCACGUAUUAAGAUUGAUUCCUAAUCCAACAAUUCUCAAAAAAGUCGCAAAGUACUCCAAGAAUUAUUCGACACCGAGUCCAAAGCAUAAUAUUCCAACAACAAAAGAAAAAGGUGACAUCUCCCUAUCUUAACAAUUGUUUAGUGAAAUAUUUCACAUGAAACGAAUAAACUUUGGAGCAUAGCUUUAUUUAUUUUAUUCUUAAAUGGAAAUAAAAUGAAAUUCCGUGUCAAUCAUCAAUAGUAUCUUCAACCACUGAAAUGAAGUGAAUUAAAAGAGGGAUAUGGCGUGUCAUUCAAGUUGUCGGUUGAGGGUCAUUUCCGUAAAUUCAGCAUCAAACCUCAACGAACCCAUCAAGUGGGGUCAAGAAAAUGAUGGCCCAAUAGCAAAAAAACAAAGGGAGAAAGAUAAAUCCAAAAGAAUCAAUCCCAUGACGCGUGAUUACAGUAAUUUCCUUGAAAAAAUAAAAAUGAAAAGUUUUCAACUUUUUAUUUUAUUAAUUUGUAGAAAAAGUUUUUGUUUUUUGGGUUUGAAAAGAUCAACCAAAAUAAUCUAAUGGAAGCCGUACGAUGGGAAUCAGUUAGCCAAACGGAAGGAGUGGCAGUGAAUGGAUCUGUUGGAUAUUUUUCUCACCUAUCCUACAGCUUACUUUAUCGACUAAGGCUCAGCCGAAAUCGGCAAACAUCAAAACGGUUGGCCGAAGCCGGGGGACUUCCAUAAAAAAACACACAAAAAACCAUCCAGUAAAAACCCAUUUGAAACAUAAUUUUUCCUCGAUAUGAAAAGCAUAUCAACUAGAAACAUUCAUUAACUGGGCAGAUAGAACUCAGAAAUUACAGAUAAGGUGGUAAUUAAAAAGGUUAGAGACAGAGAGGGGCCUUGCCUGAGCCAGGCGCUGGGUGUUGACCAGAGCCGAAGCUAGUAAAGCAGCUAAGCAAUUACUGGCGCAUGCCAGUGAGCCAUCACCGAGCGUGACACCUAAUGAAGCAUUUGCUAUCUCCAUUCGCGCGGCGACUGUUCCCUGCAAAUGGAUCAAAAAACACUGAUGAGAGAUGUGGUCGCCGUCAGAUCUGUCUCCAAAAAUUCAACAGCCGUUAAAAAAUGAAAAAAUGAAAACCUAAAAAUUAUAACAAAACAUAACUCCACCGGAAAUUCUCUCAGUCUCUCAGUCUCUCAGUCAGCCCCUUCCCCUACCGUGUUGAUUUGGUAGUUUCUACCGCCUAUCCUGAGGUUUGACCGCAGACAAUAAAUCCAAAAAGACUCAUUCUAAGACAUAUUCAAAUACCUUUUUUAAAAAGAGCAUAAGAAGUUUUCUGACGCAUCCUCUAACAAGCAGAGGGACCUAAACUUUCAGUGAAGCAAAAAAUUCCAGUGUUCAUAAAGUCAACGGUAAAUCCAUCCCAAAAGUUACAAAAAGCGUAGAUAUACGAGAAAUUAAACUCCACACAGCACAGAAAUUCAGUUAAGUCGUUCAGAAACGACCCCGAAACACUAGUAAAGUGAAGAACAGCAAAGAAGGUGAAGCAAAAAAAGCAGAAAACAAGAAAAGAUGAAGCUCAAAUAGGGGAAACAAAACAGAAACAGAUAGAAGGAAGAAAAAAAAGGAAUUAAGAGAAAAAGCAUACCGAGAAGAGAGAUCAGAGCAGAGAGAUGGUAGAUCUGGAGGUAUGGAGAUCUAAAACCACAGAAAAGAAGGAGGAGAAGGGAGGUUCAUUGUGGACCGUCGGAUCGAGAUCGAAAAGACAAAAGAGAAACGAAGAUAUAGAAUUAUCGGCGGCACUCAGAGAAGGGGGGGGGGGGGGGGGUUGAGAGGGAAAGAGGUGAGAGAGGGGAAGUGAGAGAAGCGAGUGCGAUUACUGGAGACCGACUGCCCGUAAUUUUCCAGUCCGGUAUCGGGCAGAUCGGGCAGCGUCGUAAUCUUGUAAAAAAGACCGCGUUUUAAGCUGCCCAAUGAGCCUCGAUGGACAGGUGUGGGUUCGGAUAAACUUUUCUCUUCUAUUUUUCCCUUUGGUCCUUUCUUUUUUUCCUUUUUACUUUUUCAGCAACCAGUUUUUCCAUUUAUUACACAAACCUUCCUCCAACGAAAACUGUCUUUUUCAUAAAGUCUUCGUCCCCCCCCUUUUUUUCUUUUUUCCUUCCCCCCCUCUUCUUCUUCUUCUUCUUCCUCUUCCUCUUUUAAAUCAUUCUUAUUUAAAUUUAAUAUGGCUUCAACUUUAAGCAUCUGAACAACUCUUUAUCUUCAGACUAAAAGUAUAGUAUUCAAAUUAUUAUUAUUCCUAAAUAAGAACAGUAUCGUCAGACCAGACUCAGUCCACCAGGAACUCCACAUCCUUGAUUAUAAAUUAAUAUCAAUGAAAGGAUAUUGUUAAUUUAAGAAUAAACCGAUAGAGCUUAGAUUUUAAGCAAGAGGGAGGUAUGGGCCUGUUUUAACAACCAGGCCCAGGCCCAUUCUUGGUCCAAUUAACCAUCUUCUUCUGGAAGGAUCAAAAGCUCCUCCACUUUAAAACCAUGGAAGAUGUUUAAUAACCCUAAUCCAUGUAUUUUCAGGAAUGGGGACACAGAUGGCUUAUAUUUUAAAUUUUCAAAACAAUUACCUUUUGAAAUAUGUCAUUACCCGUAGUUAUAAUCUAUGAACUAAAUGCAGUCAUGGUAGGUUCUUUGGCAAAGCAGAGAACGCCUUCUCUGGAAAAGGUUCGGAUAAAAGAAUAAUAGAAACUACAAAAUAAAUAUCACACGGGAAGCCUCGGUUCUUAUUUUGUUAUAAAUCAAUAGGUUGAAGCAAACUUAGCUCAACUUGCAUUUCCUUUCUUAAGAGAAUGAAGAUUUGAUUCAUUUUCGUUAUUAUACUAAAAAAACCAAUAAAAACUUAUCUCGAGACAACGAUUCAAUGUAUUUAUAAAUGUAGAAUAAAUGUUAGGUGAGGUGUGAUUCAAAAUUUAAAAGUUAAAAGGACAAACUUGUAAGGAAGUUAAAAAUUAGAUAUAACAUAAAAUUGGAGGAGCAAAUUAUGAAAGAAAGGAUAUAAGUUCAAUAAACCACAAACAAUAUGGAUUUUAUUGUUUAUGUGCUUUUGGGCAUAAAUUUGGGAGCUGUCUUUUGAAAUGAACCACCACUGGCAUCUAUCUAAUACAUAUUCUGCAGUAGUCAAACAUAGGAAUGCUGUAAAAGAAAAAAGAAAGAAAGAAAUGUUCUUGUUUGAUUAGUGGACCAAACUAUAUGCUCCCACCACCAAGUGAUUACAUAAUAUACUAAUUGGUAUAGCAAAACUUGGAUGCUUCUCAUACACCAUCUUUUUGGUGUACACCUAAAUCUCAUAACAAAAAAAUAGGUUUCUAUGUAGCAAACUAUAGUUGAACUAGUAGAUUUUGAAACCUAAGAAUCAAAAUAGAUAUCAAACUGAUGGAAGAACUCAAAAUUCAAAAGUAAAAAUAUAACCUUUUGAAAUCUAAAGAUCAAAAUAGAUAUUAAACUAACUCAAAACAAACAUUACUUUUAUUUCUGUUUUUUAUAUAAUACAGUGACAUAGUUAUUAUUUCCACAAUGAAUUGAGGUGUCAACUUGUCACUAAUACAUUGGAGAGAUCGUUAAAUAGACUAAAACGUUAUAAACUCACCAUUUAUCACGGCAGUUUAUAAAAAUGGAAGUUGUAAAAGAGAUCCAAAGAAAUCAAAGUCUUCAAAAGCCAGCAGGAGCCCCACCCUUUCUGGGGUCACUUACAGCAACAAGCUUCCCGAAGCCAUCACCUUGUCUCAAUGAGCUAGAACCUUGAACAAUGAACUGACAAAUUGUUCCUCCGGCAAGCCCUUCUAAGACGUGACCUUUCUUCGCAAGGACUGCCCUUGUUUCAGCCGGAACUUCAAAAUGAUCCCCCAGCACAGUGGUCCAGUUCUCAUAGUUCAAAAUGUUUGGAACCAGCUGUUCGUUUACCAAAUUAUAUUAAUUCCCAAACUUCAAAUUGCACUUCAGUGACUAAUAUUUUAGUGUAAGAAUGUUUGGAUCAGAUGAACAAAUGGAGGAAUAUUAUGAGAUGGGUUGGUGAAGGGAAGCUAGAUGAUGAAACGAACCUGAUGGUAAACUCUGGGAGCCAUCACAGAUGAGAAAGGACUCAUUCCUUUUGCAAAAUGAUUCAACAAAACCUCUGCUGUUCCAGCAAUGAUGAAGCCUCCUCCACUUGCACCGACCACAGCUUUCAGUUGACCAUUCUGUGGAUGAGUUUUACGAAAAUCUUCGAUUAUAACAUAUUUAUAGAGAGAGUGAAAUUUGGAAUUCAAGUUCAUUUGUGAUUGGAGGAAAUUAGAAUGAAAAGGGACCUUUAGAACAAUAGUAGGAGACAUGGAUGACAAUGGCCUUUUUCCUGGCCUAAUGAAAUUGGCUGGUGCUGGUGGAAGUUGAUUAGCAGAAACAUUAGCCGGGAUAGCAAAAUCGUCCAUUUCAUUGUUCAAGACUAUUCCUGUACUUGGGGACAGUAUAUGUGCUCCAAAAUAGUAGUUCACAGUGGUAGUCAUGGAGACGGCAUUUCGUUCUCCAUCGACUACAGACAAAUGACUGGUUCCAUGGUCAUUGAUUGGAUUCCAUCUGUUACAAACAGAAUAUAUGUUACCAACAGGCUCAACUCAAAGGAAGAAAGUAGAGAUAGAAGGUCUUGCUUGGAACGACGAGGAAGCACUUGGAAAUGCUUACAUUUAUAUGAGGAUAUAAAGGAAAUACUAACGGCGAAUCCAUGUAGGAGCACUGACCUGCCACCAUAAUGGCUUGGAUGAAAAGUUUUGUUGUCAUUGAUGGUUUUCUUCAAUUGUUCAGCAAAUUUGGGUGAGAGCAUAUCAGAAAGAACUUCGGUAACAUUGUAGAAAUCAGGGUCACCGAGGUUCGUCCUUACUGCAACCACAUGUUUCAAUGCUUCAAUCUCCCGAUGGAUACCAAGAGGGCCCAAAAGCCCUGAAGGCAGUUUAUAUUGAGCCAGAAUAUUAAGCAUCUGCAGUAGAACGUGGUGUUACUAACAAAAUGAACUUUUAACAAAACUGCUCAUAAAGACAAGACAACAAACUUACAAGGAUCACUCCAGAGCCUCCUGAAGGAGGAGGCAUGGUGGUUAUCUCGAGAUCCAUUGUACGAGAUAAGAUGGGGACUCUAGUUUUAACUUGAUAACUCUGCAAGUCCUUCAUUGACAGUAACCCUCCAAGCUUCCUGAUGUCUCUUAUCAAGUUAAUUCCGAUCGAACCAUUAUAGAAGGCACUGACACCAAAUCUAGAAAUAGUUCUUAGAGUUUCUGCCAGUUUCUGGUUGCGGACAAUAUCUCCCUGUUUCAACAAUUUUCCACCUGAUGUUAACAAGUUCCUGAGCCCUUCAUCCCCUAAGAUCCCUGAUUCUGUUCUAACCAUCUGCAUAUGAAGGUAUGGAGAUAUUUUAAACCCCAAGCGAGCAAGACGUUCAGCUGGUUGAACAAGCCUUGCCCAUGGAAGCUUUCCAUGUUGUUUCCAAGCCUCAUGAAGCCCUGCAAGUUCUCCUGGAACGGCAAUGGAAAGGGCUCCGGAUGCUUUUGAUGCAACAUUGCCAGCAUACAUAUUCUGUAUAUGAAUGCAAAAAAAUUUAAGAAACUGAUUCAAUGAGAAAUUUUGGAUGAGUGAAGUUAUCAGGUUGUGUAUAGCCAAUUGAUAACAACUCAUUAUUCAUCAGUUUCCAAAUGUUAAAACUCAAAAGUUACACCCAAAAGACUUUUAAGCAUAUGCUCGUGUAAAGUUCAACACAAUGAUGAUGAAAGAUAUGAACUACUUAAAUAACACUAUUCAAUGCCAUCAAACUAUCAAUCACUAUACAACAUUUGAAUUUCAGACAUGAAUGAACAACAUGAGCUUUCCAACAACAAUAAAAUGAGCAAGAAGACUAUAUGACCAUUGUGCUUCUUUUUUUCUUCAUGAAAAAUGAUUAAGUUGGAAAUCUAACAAAGAAGAAGAAAAAAGCGGAGUACCAUUUACCUCAGAAGCUAGCAAAGGUGCGGUCUCCCUCAUAUCGAAAGCCUGAGCUUUUCCACUGGCUGAUCUGAUCAGCAUAAAGGCUCCUCCACCAAUGCCACUUGAUGCAGGACUAACAACCCCCAGGCAAAGAGCAGCAGCCACUGAUGCAUCAACAGCAUGUCCUCCUUCGCGUAGAACAUCCAUACCAAUUUUGGAGCAACGGCGAUCAUCUGCGGCAACGGCACCAUGGCUUGCUACAACAACUUCAGGUCGAGCUAUGGAGGUCGGAGUCAGUAACCCAAUAGAAACAAGAACAAUCACAAGCCACCGUAUCAACAUUGCUGCAGCCACACAUGCAAACCAUUAUAGAUUACUCAGUAAAUAAUACUGAUCAGUUUAAUUGGGAAAAAAAAAUGUAAAUCACUAUCAGGAGAGCAUACAUUGAUAUAUUCUUGCUGGCCAAACUAUGUUUAAAGAUAUGAUACAGAAUAAAGGUUUUAAUUAAUUUUUAAAGUUUUUCAAAUCAGCCCAUUUGCCGAGGAUUUAUAAUUAUAUUAAAAGCAACGUAACUAAAACCGUGAUUACGAUCAGGGGCGCAUUCAUUGACUUUUGAAGGCCAAACCAUGUUUAAAAAGAGCAAAAUGGCUUUGAUCUUUUAUACAGUUUUCUAAAUCAGCCCAUGUGGAAUUUGAAAAUAAUGCCAGAAGCAGCACAAGUAAAAUGAUUUCAGUAUCUUUAAGGUGCAAAACAAUUCCUUAGACCAUGUUUUGUUCCUGUAUUGAUGAGAACAAGAUUUUGAAAAUAGAACACGCCACAAAAGAUAAGAUUGAAUUUAGUGCGUUUGUUGGCCUUAGAAGUUCAUUUGGCAGUAAAAUUUGCCAAGUGGAUGUUUAUGUGGAAAUUUCUGUUUGGUACUUGGAAUGAAAAGAAUCUGUGGCAGAAUCUAACUGCUAGAAGUUGACAAAUUGGAAAAGAUUUUCUAAGAGAGACGGUAAGCGGAUGAAGAAAGAAUGAUUAGAACAAUAGAGAAAAUGAACAAAUAGUGUACAAGCUCAUGCCUAUGGAGGGAAAAAGGGUGGCCGUGUUAUUUCUUCUAGAAAAUUUUGAGUGAAAAUGUUUUAGAUGGCAAUGCUAUUGAAAAUGUUUUUUUUAAAGAAGUAAAAUUUUGUUAGAUAUGCUAUAUUUAAAACCAUUCCAAACUAUAAUGUUAUAUUAUUACUAAAACUAAAAUAACUCAAUGUUUAAUUUUAUCAUUUUGUUAAAAUUAAUUUUAAAUAAUUAAAAACCUUUUUUCUAAAAUAAUUUUGAAAAUAACAAAAUCCAUAAAACCUAUACCACCGUCCAAAUCUAAUUCAAAACACCAAUUAUCAUUUAAAUGUGAAUAUCCUUCCUAAAAAAAUGUCAAAAAAGUAAGCCACCACAAAGUGACGGUGAUUAUAAGUACAAAGUUUGUAAAAAUAGUAAAAAAAUUAUGAUAAUAGAGUUCAUGUCACUUAUCUUUUUAAAAUUGUAAAAAUAACAAAUUUAGAUAUAAAAUAUAUAUAUAUAAAAAUAAAAAAUAUGUUAUUAACUGUUUUUUACUCAAUUUUUUAUUAGCUGUUUUUUACUAAAUAUUUUUAUCAUCCAAUCCAAUUUUCUAAAAAUAUCUCCCAAUUUGUAUAGUUGUUAAAAUUGGCGUUGUAACCUUGUAGAAGUUUGACCAAACAUUUGCAAAGAGCUUUCCGGACGAUCUACGCCAUCGUCGUUACGUUGGUCCUCAAAUUACUAUUCUCACUCUUCGCACCCCCAAAUGUAUAAUCAUUCUCCCCACUAAUAUUACUUCAAUUUUCCAUGGAAGAUUGAAAUGAGUUCAAUUUGAGGAAAAACCUUUCCCCAAGAUUCUGCCAUGAAUGAUUUCAGAACGACGAAAUAAAAUGGAGAGUUCUGACUCAAAUCACCAAUUUAUAACCACAAACAAAAACCCAGAAACCAAAAGGCGAGAAUGGAUCACGUUGAAGCAAGAUUGAAAUUACUCAUUCAAACAGUGACUCACUUGGGAUGAUUUAUUGGCUAAGUAAGAGAAUCAGCUCGAAUCCGCCCUUUCUUGUCGUCUUCUUCUUUCCGUAGUCGAUUUAUUUGGCAGCAGCCUUGUUCUUUCCUGGGAAUUAAAGAAGAAAAGCAAUCGCAAUAAGGAAGUUGCAUUGACAAUGGGUGAAAAACAGGAAAGAAGGCGAUAUAUCGUUAUCAUAAUCGACGACUUUCGUGACAAUUUUUGGGCGUUGUUUUUUUAUGAAUCGGAUAAAUUAGGAUUUAGGGUCUAGUUUUCAUCUUUUGCGGUUUCGUCGAAGUUCACUUUACCUUGUAAAUUCUGCACUCCACAUUUCUCGAGUCGUUCGUUUCAGAUAAUUUUCCGAAUUUUCAAGGGCUAAAACUACGUCCUGAUUAUCCAGAGGAAAAGAGCCGUUGAUCAUCCGAUUCGACCCAACUUGGCGGAUUGAUGAGAGAUUAGAGAAGAAUCAAAAGAGGUCGCAUAGUGCGAUAGUUACUCUAGGAAUCUUCCACCAUGUGAACCUUUUUUCCAUGGACCUUUGAAAAAGUUUGAAACUUUCUUUGUUAGAACUUUAUUUCCAUCGUGCGAUAUUUCGUGGAUAAUACUAAGAUACAAAAUCUUGUAAUCUAAAAGUAAAAGAAUCUAAGUCAGUGACUUGAUAAUUUUACUUAUUCUAUGCUUGAAUUUCAUGAGUAACUCAGCAAACCCCGUCUACAAGAUACAAUCAACCAUCCUUUGUGAAAACACUCUGAAAGUUUUGAAUAAAAGGUGAUGAAAAAGUGGUUCUAAAAUGCCAUUUGAAAAAGAAAAAGACACAUUAAUGAACUAUUUGUUAGCAUUCAAAUACUUCGUUCUUAGUUAAUUAUGAAAUUCGAAAAGACAUGUUCAUUGCAACCACAACCUAAAAGUACAUCUUCUGCCUAACUUUAUUUGGGUUAAUCCUAUGCCAAAACGAGUAUCCCCUCCGUCCAAGAAAAAUCUACAAUCCUACUUUACAAUCUCAAAAUGAACCUUUUCUCUCCUUAUAAACAUUAUUAUUUUAUUUCUUUCCACUGAUUUAAAUUCAUUCUGCUAACAUGUCUUUUAACAAUGGAAGCUAUUGAAGAGAUCCAAGAAUUCACAAUCUCAAAGCCAGCCGGAGCCCCACCUUUCCUUGGAUCACUUACUACCACAAGUUUAUCCACGCCACCACCUUGUCUCACUCACCCAAAACUUUGAACAAUGAACCGACGAACUGUCUCUUCUAAGACACGACCCUUCUUAUCAAGGUCUGCCCUUGUUUUAGCAGGCACUUCAAAAUGACCCCCAAACACAUUGGUCCAAUUCCGCAUAGUUCAAAAUGUUUGGAAUCAGCUGUUUGUUUGCUUCAAUUCAACAAAAAAUGUAUUAGUUCCCAAAUGACUAACAUCUAGUAGUGCAAGAAGGUUUAGAUCGGAUGAAUCGAUAUAGAAGUAUUACAAGACGGAUCGGAGAAGGAGCGCAUUAACCGGAUGAUAAACUUAAGGAGUCAUCACAAAAUGAUUCAACAAAACCUCUGCUACUCCAGCAAUGAUGAAGGCUCCUCCACUUGCACCAACCACAGCUUUUAGUUGACCAUCUUGUAGAUGAAAUUAAGUUCAAAGAAAUCUUCAAUUACAAGACACCUAUAAAGGUAGUAACAUUUUGAAAUUCAAGUUAAGAAAUUAGAAUGAAAAGAACACCUUUAGGAGAUAGUAGGAGACAUGGAUGAUAAUGGCCUUUUCCCACAGUCAGCGAGACAGCGUUAUCAAGUGUUGAAUAAAGAAGUUGGGCUGAAUUUCAUCACCUUCUGGGCUGGAGGCCCAUUAUAGGCCCAUAUAUAAUAUCCGACCCGCGUUGUUCGCAUCCCGUCAACAUUGCUAUUAUUCAAUUUCAAACCACCAUCUUUCUCCCGCCCAAUCUUCUUGCCCACGUCUCAACAUCGGUUCUUCGGCAGAGCUCAAAAAGAGGAAGAGAGAGAUUUACCGGUGUAAAUUAAUCCAUUUUUUUCCGUCUCCGGCAGCUACAUUUCUUCAUGUUUUAGAAUCCCACUGCGAACUUCAAUUAAUUUCACUGUGCACUACAUUAGGGUUUGAAAGUUUUUGUACAGUUGAAAAUCCAGUGACGAAGUACGGAUUCAUCUCAGAAUGCUGCAAUCUGAGUAGUCCAGUAAAGCCAAGAAAGACUGGUAGCUGAGAAUGGCAAGGCGAAAGGCGAAGAAAACGGUUAAGAAGUCCAGCCCUUCACCUAUACUAGAAGCAAAGGAUGAAGCAGCGAAUGACGAGGAUGGUAUGUUGAAAUUCGUGGUGAUUUCGAUUCUUUUACUGAAGCCGGAAUUUAAUUGAAAGAAAAUUGUUUUGUUUCUCUUCCCGUUAACAUAAUUGUUCCUCUGUUUUCCCUUUUACUCGUGUUUAGUUGAACGGCAUGCUGCUGCAAUCCGUGCCAUUCGGGAUGUGGAGAUCGGGCGUUUGAUUACUGAAUUGCGGUUGCUUCGUUCGUAUUUCAACAAGGAGCAAUUGCAAACUCCUUUAUUGCAAUUCUUCGAAGAAAAACUUCCUAGGUUGUCUAUUUCGAGAACAGGCGAACAAGGAGAAAUUGAAGUACAAUGGAAGGAUACAGAGGAUGAACUACGCACCAAUCCAGCUGAUGGAAUAGAUAUACAUGCGUCUCUCCUUCACCGCCUGUCGAUAGCUUAUCCUAACUGCUCUGCCGGAAUGCGAUCUUUCAAUGGAUUCGAAUUUUCCAGUAAAUCAGGUAUCUGUAGAUUUUGGAUUUUGGAGCGCAAAAUCAUUUAGUAAGUGCCCCCUUAUACGACGCUUCUUUGCUGCAACUCACCUUCUUUUCUCUACUGAUGGCAGUGAAAACGAAUCCUUUCAUUGUCGAGAACCUGCAAAUUCCAAACUUUGUAAGUAAUAUUUGCAUAUGAUAUCUUAAAUCGUACAGUAGUAGAAUGAGUUAUAUGGUGCGAGCACACAACAUACGAUGUAGUUUGUCUAUAUCUUUUGUUUCAUGUUGUUGAUUUGUGGAAGAACGCUACUAGAAAUAAAACCGUGAACAAUUUGGUAUUGACUCAUAGAUUUGUUAACAAUUCUUGAUUUUAGGUUUUGGAGGAGCCCUCGGAUAAUUUGGUGCUCGGCAUGCCAGACAUACACCAAACUCCUGGGGUUUGUAUCUUUAUGGUUUUUGCACAUCGCUUAUUGCAUUGGCCUUUUCAUGUUAAUAUUCUAUAGCUGUCUGUUAUUGCCAUUUUUUUAGGCGGUGUUUUCACUUAAAUUAUCUAGGCACAUUGAUUGUCGGGGUCUAAGGAAUGGAAUUACUGUAGUGAUAGAUGGGUGGCUGCAAUCAAUUAUUAAUGUUUUAUUUUCAAUAAUUAACGGUGUUUUGUUUAAAUAUUUAAGGGUGUCUAAGCUAAUUCAUGUCUAUAAGUAGGGAUUUAUUGCCUCAAUCUGUCAAUAAGUUUGAGUUGUGACUUCUUGGUUAUAAGUUGGGAUCUUGUUGCCCACCAUCAGUUAAACUUUGUGGUUAAUGAAGUCUAAAUGUAGGGAAUAAGUUCAGCACAUAGUGGCCAUCCCACUACCAAAUAUUUGAAAAUCAAAGUAGAAUCACAUUAUGAUAGUUUUUUCUGUGAGGAUAGUUGAGGCUAACAAGCUGACCUUAAAGAAAACAUGGCCUUCAUAUACUCAUUAGUAAAUCGGAAAUGAACUUUGAACCUAGUAUUUGUCUUGCAAUCGGAUGCUAUUUGAAAUUUUGGAACGUUGGACUAUAGUUUUGUUUUUUCUUCUCUCUUUUAAUGGUUCAUUUUGGAUUUGAAUAUUUCUACUCCGAAACUUCAGUGUAAAUGUUCCUAUGGAUAUCAAUACCAUGAUAAAAGUUCAUAUUUAUAUAUGUUUUCUGCCAACCAACUAGGGGAGAUAAAUUAAGUUCCGAGCUAAGUUGCAAAAAAGUUAUUGGGAGCCGGGAGGCAAUAGUCGAUCAUUUCAAAAAUCAAUCAUGACUAGAUCGUAGAGGGAAUGAUGGAACACGGCUUCAUUUCUAGUAAUUAAAUAAUUUAUUUGUUAAGACAGGGAAAAUCUUGAACCCAUGAAGGAAGCUGCAAAGAUGAAUUCUAAGUACAAAGAUCGGCAUGGUUCUUACUAAAAAAUACAUGUAAAGAUUAUAUUUUAAUAACAUCUCAGGCUUGUUCGAGGGAUUAUCCCUAACAGAACUUGCUUAAGGCUGUUUUUGUCAUUGUUGCCUCUAUUUAGUGUAUUAUACUAUAACUAUAAGCUAACUAGCCUUCCUUCUACAGGUGAGUAACCAACGAUUAUCCAUUGGGAUGACUCCGAAAACCCGAAGACUGCCAAAACCAGGCGAGAUGCUUGUGUCCAUCCAUGGAUCCCCCUUGGGUGUUUACAAGGAAGACAACAUGGAAGCAAUCCAUGGUAUGCUCAUUUAGGUCAUUUCCAUUUCUAGACAUGGAGUAUUUUGGUGGGUUUAUAUAAAUCGUGCUUCUACAUUUUUCUAAUGGGUAAAUUGAUAUUGUGCAGAAUCGGAAGAGGGUUGAUUUGCUGAUUCAACGCGACUUGACUGCUUGUCAAUAGAAGUGAUACUCCAAAUGCGAUCAUCUCGACCAUCGUUUUACUUUUACCUGAUGUACUUUCAACCUUCUUGUCUUGUAAUCUAACCUUUUGAUUACUUCUUAAAAGUUACUCUUACGUGUAUAACUAUAAACUAGUGUGUUUUAACUCCAAGGAACGAGCAUGUACAAACACGCAAUUGCUCCACUAGAUUAUUGUUCAUUGUUAUUUGUUACGAAAGUUGACGUUGGAUUAAAGGUAAAUCUGGAUUGUUGCUUUGUCUUUAUUUCCAACAUGUUUUUUGUGAUUACCAACACAGUCUCAGAUCGCUAAUGAGGCAGAAAAAUGGUUCAGACGGUUGCUUAGGCUCUCCGAUGACAAUUGAAUCAAUUUAUAUAAUCCACAAAUACAAAGCACACUUAGUUUGUCUGUACAUCCCAAUUUUGUGAGGAGUCGGACCUCAUCAAAUCAUAAAAUUUCAUGGGAAAAUAAAUGAGCAUAUAUACAAAAUUUUGGUUUCUUUUCAAAACUCAACAUUCCUGUAAUUUUUGUAAAACUGCCGUACCAUUCUCCAAAUUUUAAGAGGAGAAGUCAAGAAGCUUCUAAAGAAUGUAGAUUGACCACAAAAAGGAAAUUCUUAAGCUAACCCUAGCUCUGGAGCAUGGUUUUCCACACCACUUUCUGAGUUUCGUGAACCUGUUCUAGUUCUUGAAGAUCUUGGUUUUUGCACAUUACUUUCUAAGUUUCUUGGACCUGAUCUAGUUCUUGAAGAUGACUGUUUUUCCACACUACUAUCUGAGUUUCUUGAACCUGUUCUAGUUCUUGCAGGUUCUGGUUUUUCUUGUGACGAUCCAAUGGUUCCCAAAGCAUCGAGGAAGAAUCUCUUAUUUGGAAUGAUGCCAGCUUUGUCCAUAUUCUUCAAGAGCUUCUCCAGAAGUUCCUUCUUAUCAGCUUUGGUGUAAGCUUUAUAAAGAAGCUUGUAUGUUGU